AUUUCUCUCCUUUCUACUUCUUAUUGUCUUGUUCAGCUGUAUUUUGUGUUAUCGGGUUGGUUGGCUCGGGUUCGGAGAAGUUUUAGUAAGAUUUGAGACACUUAGUCUCUUUUGAGGAAAGCUUAAGAUGGAAAAGUCAAUCGGACGUUGACUUAUGUGUUAUCUCGAAUGUGAGUUACGAUGGUUUGUAUAUCUUUGGGAGGUGAUUUGAGACUUAAGAGCGUGAUCAGAAUACGUUUUGGAGGUCUGGAGUAGAUUUAGGCUUGAAUUGGCGAAAUUGGAAUUUUGCAUUUUCCGGUUGAUGGGUGAGAUUUUGAUAUAGGGGGUCAGAAUGGAAUUUUGGAAGUUGCAAUAGGUUCGUUGUAUCAUUUGGAAGGUGUUUGCAAAAUUUCAGGUCAUUCUGACGUGGUUUGGUAGACUUUUUGAUCAAAAGCAUAAUUCGGAAGAUUUUGGGAACCUUAGGCUUGAAUCCGAGGUAUUUUGGUUGAUUCGAUGUUGUUUGAGGUGUUUUGAAUAUUGGUAUAUGUUUGGAUGGUAGUAUAUGGCUUGAUUGUGCUUUUGGUUGAGGUUUCGGGGGCCUCGGGGUGAUUUCAGAUGGUUAGCGGAAAGUUUGGAAGUUGGAUGUAGCAGUUGAAGAUAUGUCUGUUGUCAUAACCGCACCUGCGGCUAGGGGACCGCAGGUGCGGGCUCAGAGAAGCGUAGAGGGAUCUGCAGAUGCAUCCAAGAGGAGGCUCAACUAGAGUUGCAGAAGCGGUAAGGGAGCGCACCUGCGAUAGCACAGGUGCGGGCAGCGCAGAUGCGAAUUUUGGCCCAUAAGUGAAAACCGUAGAUGCGGUGUCUUCGACUGUAGAAGCGGUACCGCAGGUGCAAAAAGCCUGGGCCAGAAGGUAUAAAAGAAUUCCUUCACGAUUUUUGAGUUGUUCUUCACCAUUUCAAGUCGGGUUUGGAGCUUUUUGGGAGAUUUUGAAGAGGGAUUCAAGGGAUAACGUCUGGAGGUAAGAUUUUUGAACCUAAUAAUCGAUCAUAUGGCAUUAUUUCACUGAUUUGGCCUAAGAUUAAUAGAAAUUAAGGGUUAAAGAUUGGGAAACUAGGGUUUUGUAUUGGAGACCUUGACUUGAGGAUUUGAAGGGUCAUUUGUGGUCGGAUUUUGGGACUUUUGAUAUGUAUGAACUCGUGGGGAGAUAAGGAAUAUAUUGAUGUAAAUUUUAUCGAAUUCCGAGACAUGGGUCUGGGGUCGGGUUUUGGUUAAUUUCGAGAUUUAUGUUGUAAAUUGAUUAUUUUCGCCUGGGCUUCGUUCCCUUAGCAUACUUUGACGUCGUGAUUCUGAUUUUGGAUGGAUUCGAUGCGAGUGGAGGCCGAUUCGAGGGGCAAAGGCAUCGCGGGAUAGAGUUUGGACCGGAUUGAGGUAAGUAAUGAUUUCAAAUGUUGUCCUGAGGGUAUUAAACCCUGGAUUACACAUCGCUGUGCUAUAUUGAAGUGACGCACAUGCUAGAUGACGAGUGUGAGGUCGUGCACCAUUGGGGAUUGUGACUUAGUCCAUCCCGAAUGACUGUUUUACCGCGUAUUUGAUUGAAAACUGUUUGCUAUCAUCAUAUUUUGGGCUGAAUGCCACAUUUGGGCCUCGUGCCAACUAUUUGGACCUUAGGGAAUUUUUACUACUAUUUUCUCACUAUUUUGAUUUUUAUAUAUGUACUCAGUCAUGCUAUAUUAUACUAUUUUCAUGACUCAGCCAUGUUUACUCUAUUUUAAUACUUUAAAUGAUAUUUUGGGUUGAGCAUCAUGUUUUACUGUGCCCAAGUGGCUUUUAGAGAUUUCUGACUGAGUAGGGCUGAGGGCCUGUGUUGUGAGUAUUUUUGUGGGAUCGGGUUGCACGCCGCAGUAAUGAUACACUGAUUUAUGAUUAUGAGGCCGAGGGCCUGAGUUGUACGCUACGAGGUGGCUUGAUAUGAGGCCGAGAGCAUAUUGAUUAUGCCACAAGAAGGCUUGAUAUUGCGCUUGGGCUGUAAGGGGCCCCUCCCGGAGUCUGUACACCCCCAGUGAGCGCGGGUACCCAUUGUGAUAUGAGAUAUAUCCCGAGGGGCUGGUGUUGUUCCAUGUUAUUGCUCGAGGGGCGGAUUCUAUGACAUUGUUCCCGAGGGGCGGAUUCUAUGUGUUUACCUUUUCUAGUUGCUCUUCAUUUACUUGUUUAAUUGUUAAAAAGGUGUUUUAAGGAAGCUUAUUUUGAACUAAGGUGUCUUUAUAUGAUUUCCAUGUUUCAUUGCUUUUUUAUUGGUUUUAGAGUGCUUCUUUAUAGCAUGUUGAUGUGCUCUUUACGUGAUUUCUUAUCACUCAGUCUUAAUUUAUUAUUAUUACUCACUGAGUUGGAGUACUCACUUUACUCCCUGCACUCUGUGAGCAAAUUCAGGCGCUUCAGGUCCUGCUAGCGAGGGUUGAUAGCUUCCAGCAGAUAUCGGAGUCCUUUAGGUAGUUGCUUGGCGUUCGCAGCCCAGUGUUUCUCCCUCUUAUCAUUAUUUCUUUCCCUUGUACUGUAUUUUGUAAUAGAUUGUGUAGUCCCUUUCCUAUAUUCCUAGACUUGUGUUAGAUGCUCAUGACUAGUGACACCCCGAUGUCGGGUUGUGUUGGUUUUUUCGCCAAUUGUACUAUUUCACUAUUUAUUUGGGAUUUAAUCAUGUUAAAGACUUAAAUUGUGCUAUUUUAAUUGCUUAAAAUAAAUUGGGUGUUGUGUCAGCUGGCCUUGUCUUCACGAGAGGCGCCAUCAUGACCGGGUCUGGGUUUAGGGUUGUGAAAAGUUGGUAUUAGAGCCUAGGUUACAUAGAUCUCAUGAGUCAUGAGUAGGUUUAGUAGAGUCUCCCAGAUCGGUACGGAGACAUCUGUAUUUAUCCUCGAGAGGCUGCAGAACCUUUAGGAAAAUCUUCAUAUUCUUGAAAUUUUGUCGUGCAAAUCUGUUGAUCCGAGUACUAAACUUCUAUUAUUCUAUUCCCUCACAGAUGGUGAGGACACGAGCGACCGGUCAGGAUGGACGACCACUAGUACCACUACCUGUGGCCACUAGAGGACGAGGACGCAGUCGUGGUCACGGUAGGGGAAGGGGUGUGGCCCGCACAGCAGUUAGGGCAACACCUGCAGAUCUACUAGCCUCCCCAGUUCAGGAUCAGGUCCCAGUUGUGGACGCUCCAGCAGCACUAGCUCAGGCACCAGCUAUGCCCAUUAUGAUUCAGGGUCUUCAAGAGGCCUUGGCUCAGAUUCUAUCAGUAUGCACUGGCCUAGCUCAGGCGAUUUCAGUUACUACAACCGCAUCUACUUCUCAGGCUGGGGGAGGCAAUCAGACUCCCGCCACUCGCACACUUGAGCAGGUCAUACAGGGACUUCAGACAUCGGGGGCACAUCCAGCCUAGCCGAUUGCGGCUGCUCAGGACAAUGCAGCUCCUGCCAUGCCAAAGGAUGAGAAACGUAGGUUGGAGAGGUUGGGUAGACUUCAGCCUCUGACUUUCAGUGGUGUAGAGGUCGAGGAUGCCCAGGGUUUCUUGGACAAGUGUCAGCAGAUUCUUUGUACAACGGGUAUUCUAGAGACCAACGGUGUCGCUUUCACUACUUUUCAGUUUUUUGGAGCCGCCUUCACUUGGUGGGAGGCUUAUGAGAGGCAUAGGCCUGUUGGUGCAGCACCCCUUACCUGGCAACAGUUCUUUGUUCUCUUUUUGGAGAAGUAUGUGCCACAGUCUCGCAGAGAGGAGCUGUGCAGGUAGUUUGAGUGGAUGCGUUAGGGAGAGAUGACUAUGACCAGUAUGAGAUGAGGUUCUUAAAGUUAGCUCGUCAUGCUAUUUGGUUGGUUCCGAUAGAUAGAGAGAGUAUUAGGAGGUUUGUUGAUGGCCUCACUUAUCAGCUUCGUAUUCUCAUGACCAGGGAGNNNNNNNNNNNNNNNNNNNNNNNNNNNNNNNNNNNNNNNNNNNNNNNNNNNNAGCGUGAUGAGAGGGAGGCCAAGAGGCCUCGAGGAUCCGGUAGUUAUGGUGGUGCUUCUUCGAGAGGUCAAUUUCAGCACGGUAGAGGCCGUCCAUUUAGUUAUGCUCAGCUAGCUCGCCCAGGUUAUCGUGGGGCAUCAUUGGGUCAUGGUUAUCACGGUUCUCAUCAGGGCCAGUCAUCACUUAGUGCCCUUCCAGCUCAGAGUUCUUCCCGUGCUCUAUCAGUUCAGGCUCUUCCAUGCCAGGUGCAUCUGCUAGUCAUUCCGGUGCUAGGGGUUCCCUUCAGUCCCCGUCUCUAGCACUUGGGAGUUGCUAUGAGUGUGGAGAGAUGGGUCAUAUGUGGAGGUAAUUUCCUCGUCGUCUUGCGGGUUCAUCUCAGUAGAGGAGUCAGCCAUCGGUUUCAGCGCUAGUUACUUCACCACCACCCACCCACCCAGCUAGGGGUGAAGGUCAGUCAACUAUGGGUCGCCUUAGAGGGGGAGGUCGAUCAGUUGGUGGUCAGGCCCGUUUCUAUGCACUUCCAGCUAGACCCGAUGUUAUUGCUUCUGAUGCUGUUAUUACAGGUAUUGUUUCAGUCUGCUGCAGAGAUACCUUUGUAUUAUUUGAUCUCGGUUCCACUUAUUCUUAUGUGUCAUCAUACUUUACUCGUUAUUGGAUACGCCCCGUGAAUCUCUUGUUUCAUCUAUUCAUGUAUCUACGCCAGUGGACGAUACUGUUGUUGCAGACCGUGUGUACCGGUCAUAUGUGGUGACUAUUGGGGGUUUGGAGACCCGAGUGGAUCUAUUGUUGUUAUGUAUGGUAGACUUUAAUAUUAUAUUGGGUAUGAAUUGGUUAUCUCUGUGUCAUGCUAUUUUGGAUUGUCAUGCUAAGACAGUGACUUUGGCUAUGCCGGGUGUGCCACGGAUUGAGUGGCAAGGUUCGACUGAUUAUGUUCCCAGUAGAGUGAUUUCUUUUUUGAAGGCCCAGCGUAUGGUUGGAAGGGUUGUCUUUCAUAUCUAGCCUUUGUGAGGGAUGUCGGUGCAAAGACUCCAAGUAUUGAUGUUGUUCCAGUUGUGAGGGAUUUUCCUGAUGUGUUUCCUGCAGACCUGUCGGGCAUACUACCGGAUAGGGAUACUGAUUUUGGUAUUGAUCUGGUACCGGGCACAUAGACAAUUUCUAUUCCACCAUAUCGUAUGGCACCAGCGGAGUUGAAAGAGUAGCUUCAGGAACUCCUUACUAAGGGGUUCAUUCGGCCUAGUGUGUCAGCUUAGGGUGUGCUAGUUCUAUUUGUGAAGAAGAAGGAUGGAACUAUGAGGAUGUGCAUUGCUUACAGGCAGUUGAACAAAGUAAUAGUAAGAACAAGUAUCCCUUGCCUCGCAUUGAUAAUUUAUUCUACCAGCUUCAUGAAGCGAGAGUGUUCUCCAAGAUUGAUCUCCGUUCGGGUUAUCGCCAGUUGAAGAUCAGGGACUCAGAUAUUCUUAAGACAGCUUUCAGGACCCGAUAUGGUUAUUAUGAGUUCUUGAUGAUGUCUUUUGGGUGGACCAAUGCCCCAACAACGUUCAUGCAUUUGAUGAAGAGCGUGUUCUGGCCGUAUCUUGACUCGUUUUUCAUAGUGUUCAUUGAUGAUAUUUUGGUAUACUUGUGUAGUCAGGAGGAGCACGCAGAGCAUUUGAGAGUUUUGUUGCAGAUAUUUAGGGAGGGGAAGCUUUAUGAAAAGUUCUCCAAGUGUGAGUUUUGGCUUUGUUCAGUGCCUUUCUUGGGGCACGUAGUGUCCAGCGAGGGUAUUUAGGUUGAUCCGAAGAAGAUAGAGGCGGUUUAGAGUUGGCCCAGACUGUCCUCAGCCAUAGAGAUUCACAGCUUUCUUGGGUUGGCGGGUUAUUACCGCUAGUUUGUUCAGGGAUUCUCAUCUAUUGCAUCGCCCUUGACCAAGUUGACUCAGAAGGGUAUUUCAUUUGUAUGGUCGGAUGAGUGUGAGGAGAGCUUUUAGAAGCUCAGACUGCCUUGACCACAACUCCAGUGUUAGUUUUUCCAUCAGCUUUAGGUUCUUAUACCAUGUAUUGUGACACUUCGUGAGUUGGUAUUGGGUGUGUGUUGAUGCAUGAUGGUAGAGUUAUUGCUUAUGUUUCUCGACAGUUGAAACCCCAUGAGAAGAACUACCCUGUUCAUGAUUUGGAAUUGGCUGUCAUUGUUCACGCGUUGAAGAUUCGGAGGCAUUAUUUGUAUGGUGUGUCUUGUGAGGUAUUUACUGAUCAUCGUAGCCUCCAGCACUUGUUCAAGCAGAAGGAUAUCAAUUUGAGGCAGCGGAGAUGGUUGGAGUUGCUAAAGGAUUAUGAUAUUACUAUAUUGUACCAUCUGGGGAAGGCCAAUGUGGUGGCCGAUGCCUUGAGUAGGAAGGCGGUGAGUAUGGGGAGUUUCGCAUAUAUUCCAGUUGGGGAGAUACCUCUUGCAGUUGAUGUUCAGGCCUUGGCUAAUCGGUUCGUGAGGUUGGAUAUUUCAGAGCAUAGUCGGGUUUUGGAUUGUGUGAUUUCUUGGUCUUCCUUAUAUGAUCGCAUCAGAGAGCGCCAGUAUGACGAUCCUCAUUUGCUUGUCCUUAAGGACAGAGUUCAGCACAAUGAUGCCAGAGAUGUGACUAUCGGUGAUGAUGCGGUGUUGAGGAUGCAAGACUGGAUAUGUGUGCCUAAUGUAGAUGUGCUUCGGGAGUUGAUUCUGGAGGAGGCUGAUAGCUUGCGGUAUUCCAUUCAUACGGGUGCUGUGAAAAUGUAUCAGGAUCUGAGACAACAUUAUUGGUGGAGGAGAAUGAACAAGGACAUUGUGGGAUUUGUAGCUCGGUGUCUCAAUUGUCAGUAGGUGAAAUAUGAGCAUCAAAGACCGGGUGGCUUGCUUCAACAGAUGGAUAUUCCAGAGUGGAAGUGGGAGCGGAUCACCAUGGACUUUGUAGUUGGGCUCCCAUGGACUUUGAAGAAGUUCGAUGUUAUUUGAGUGAUUGUGGGUCGGCUGACCAAGUCUGCGCACUUCAUUCCUGUAUGUACUACCUAUUCUUUAGAGCGGUUGGCUGAGAUCUAUAUCCGGGAGAUUGUUCGUUUGCAUGGCGUCCCGGCCAUCAUUUCAGAUAGGAGCACUCAGUUUACUUCGCAGUUUUGGAGGUCUGUGCAGUGAGAGUUGGGUACUCAGGUUGAGUUGAGCACAACUUUUCACCCUCAGACGGACGGGCAGUCCGAGCGCACUAUUCAGAUAUUGGAGGAAAUAUUGUGUGCUUGUGUCAUUGAUUUUGGAGAGUCAUGGGAUCAGUUUCUAUUGCUCGCAGAGUUUGCUUAUAACAACAGUUACCAGUCGAGUAUUCAGAUGGCUCCAUAUGAGGCUUUGUAUGGGAGGCGCUGUAGAUCUCCAGUUGGUUGGUUUGAAUCGGGUGUGGCUAGGCUAUUGGGGACCGACUUGGUGCAAGAUGCUUUAGACAAGGUGAAGGUGAUUCAGGAGAUGCUUCGUACAGCGCAGUCGAGACAGAACAGUUAUGCUGAUAGGAAGGUUCAGGAUGUGUCCUACAUGGUUGGUGAGAAGGUUUGUUGAAGGUUUCACCCAUGAAGGGUGUUAUAAGAUUUGGUAAUAAAGGUAAAUUGAGUCCUCGGUUCAUUGGGCAUUUCGAGGUGCUUCGGAGGAUUGGGGAGGUGGAUUAUGAGCUUGCUUUGCCACCCGGAUUGUCGAGUGUGCAUCCGGUAUUUCAUGUUUCUAUGCUCCAGAAGUAUAUUGGGGAUCCGUCUCAUGUUCUGGAUUUCAGCACGGUUCAGUUAGAUAGUGAUUUUACUUAUGAUAUGGAGCCAGCAGCUAUUUUGGAUCGUCAGGUUCGAAAGUUGAGAUCAAAGGAUAAAGCUUCAGUGAAAGUGCAGUGGAGAGGUCGGCCCGUAGAGGAGGCUACCUGGGAGACCGAGCGGGAGAUGCGCGGCAGAUAUCUCACCUGUUUGAGGCAUCAGGUAUGUUUCUUGACUCAUUCGAGGACGAAUGUUUGUUUAAGAGGGGGAGGAUGUAACGACCCGGCCGAUCAUUUCAUGGGUUAUGCUCCGUUUCCCCCAUUUAUGCUUAUUAUUGUCUUGUUCAGUUAUAUUUUGUGUUAUCGGGUUGGCUGGCUUGGGUUCGGAGAGGUUUUGGUAAGAUUUGAGACACUUAGUCUCUUUUGAGGAAAGCUUAAGUUGGAAAAGUCAACCGGAUGUUGCCUUAUGUGUUAGAGGACUCGGAUGUGAGUUCUGAUGGUUUGAAUAGCUUCGGGAGGUGAUUUUAGACUUAGGAGCGUGAUUGGAAUGUGUUUUGGAGGUCCGGAGUAGAUUUAGGCUUGAAUUGGCGAAAUUGGAAUUUUGGCGUUUUCCGGUUUAUGGGUGAGAUUUUGAUAUAGGGGGUCGGAAUGGAAUUCCGAAAGUUGCAGUAGGUUCGUGGUGUCAUUUGAAAGGUGUGUGAAAAAUUUCAAGUCAUUCAGACGUGGUUUAGUAGACUUUUUUAUCAAAAGCGCAAUUCGGAAAAUUUUGGGAACCUUAGGCUUGAAUCCGAGGUGUUUUGGUUGAUUCGAUGUUGUUUAAGGUGUAUUGAAGAUUGGUAUAAGUUUGGAUGGCAGUAUAUGGCUUGGUUGUGCUUUUGGUUGAGGUCCCGGGGGCCUCGGGGUGAUUUGAUGGUUGGCGGAAAGUUUGGAAGUUGGUUGUAGCAGCUGAAGCUAAGUGUGCUGUCAUAACCGCACCUGGGGCUAGGGGAUCGCAGGUGGGGGACUCGCAGAAGCAUAGAGGGAGCCGCAGAUGAGGCCAAGAGGAGGCUCAAUUGGAACCGUAGAAGCGGUAAGGGGAGUGCACCUGCGAUAGUGCAGGUGCGGGCAGCGCAUCGCAGAUGCGGAUUUUGUCCCAUAAGUGAAAACCGCAGAUGCGGUAUCUUGGACCGUAGAAGCGGUACCGCAGAUGCGGUGGAUGGACCGCAGGUGCGAAAAGCCUGGGCCAGAAGGUAUAAAAGAAUUCCUUCACGAUUUUUGAGUUGUUCUUUACCAUUUCAAGUCGGGUUUGGAGCUUUUUGGGAGAUUUUGAAGAGGGAUUCAAGGGAUAACGUCUGGAGGUAAAAACAUUUAACCUAAUAAUCGAUUUUAUGGCAUUAUUUCACUGAUUUGGCCUAAGAUUAAUGGAAAUUAAGGGUUAAAGAUUGGGAAACUAGGGCUUGGUAUUGGAGACAUUGACUUGAGGAUUUGAAGGGCCAUUUGUGGUCGGAUUUUGGGACCUUUGAUAUGUAUGAACUCGUGGGGAGAUAAGGAAUAUAUUGAUGUAAAUUUUAUUGAAUUCCGAGACGUGGGUCGGGUUUUGGUUAACUUCGGGGUUUAUAUUGUAAAUUGAUUAUUUUUGCAUGGGCUUCGUUCCCUUAGCAUACUUUGACAUCGUGAUUUUGAUUUUGGAUAGUUUCGACGCGAGUGGAGGCCGAUUCGAGGGGCAAAGGCGUCGCGGGCUAGUGUUUGGACCGGAUUGAGGUGAGUAAUAAUUUUAAAUGUUGUCCUAAGGGUAUGAAACCCUGGAUUACACAUCGUUGUGCUAUAUUGAGGUGACGCACACACUAGAUGAUGAGCGUAGGGUCGUGCACCAUUGGAGAUUGUGACAGUCCAUUCCGAAUGAAUGUUUUACCGCGUAUUUGAUUGAAAACUGCUUGCUAUCAUCAUAUUUUGGGUUGAAUGUCAUAUUUGGACUUCGUGCCAACUAUUUGGACCUUAGGGAAUUUUUAUUGCUAUUUUCUCACUGUUUUGAUUUUUAUAUCUGUAUUCAGUCGUGCUAUAUUAUACUGUUUUCAUAACUCAGUCAUGUUAACUCUGUUUUAAUACUUUAAAUGAUACUUUGGGUUGAGCAUCAUGUUUUACUGUGCCCGAGUGGCUUUUAGAGAUUUCUGACUGAGUAGGGCCGAAGGCCUGUGUUGUGAGUAUUAUUAUGGGAUCGGGCUGCACGCCGCAGCAGUGAUGCACUGAUUUCUGAUUAUGAGGCCGAGGGCCUGAGUUGUACGCCACGAGGUGGCUUGAUAUGAGGCCGAGAGCCUAUUGAUUACGUCAUGAGAUGGCUUGAUAUUGCGCUUGGGCCGUAAGGGGCCCCUCUCGGAGUCUGUACACCCCCAGUGAGCGCGGGUACCCAUUGUAAUAUGAGAUAUAGCCCGAAGGGCUGGUGUUGUUCCAUGUUAUUGCCCGAGGAGCUGAUUCUGUUGACAUUGUGCCCGAGGGGCGGAUUUUAUGUGUUUACCUUUUCAAGCUACUCUUCAUUUACUUGUUUAACUGUUAAAAAGGUAUUUUAAGGAAGCUUAUUCUGAACUAAGGUGUCUUUAUAUGAUUUCCCUGUUUCAUUGCUUUUUAUUGGUUUUACACUGCUUCUUUAUAGCAUGUUGAUGUGCUCAUUACGUGAUUUCUUAUCGUUCAGUCUUCAUUUAUUAUUAUUACUCACUGAGUUGGAGUACUCACUUUACUCUCUGCACCCUAUGUGCAGAUUCAGGCGCUUCAGGUCCUGCUAGCGAGGGUUGAUAGCUUCCACAGAUUUCGGAGUCCACUAGGUAGCUGCUUGGCGUUCGCAACCCAGUGUUUCUUCCUCUUAUCAUUAUUUCUUUCCCUUGUACUGGAUUUUGUAAUAGACUGUGUAGUCCCUUUCCCAUAUUCCUAGACUUGUGUUAGAUGCUCAUGACUAGUGACACCCCGAUGUCGGGCUGUAUUGGUUUUUCCGCUAAUUGUACUGUUUCACUGUUUAUUUAGGAUUUAAUCAUGUUAAAGACUUAAAUUGUGUUAUUUUAAUUGCUUAAAAUGAAUUGGGUGUUGUGUCGGCUGGUCUUGUCUUCACAAGAGGCGCCAUCACGUCCAGGUCUGGGUUUAGGAUCGUGACAGCGUAGUAGGCGUUUACUGAUAUAUCAAAACUGUCGAUAAGCUCAAUAAUUCAUAAAAUACUUCCGUCUUUAAAUGUGAACUAGUACAUUACCUCAUUUAUUACAAGUGUAGUAGUAUUUUACUGAUAUUUGUCAAAUUAUCGGUAAGAUACUGACGACUUCAAACUCGCAAAUUGCUAUUGUUAUAGUUCCUUGAAAGUGAAUUAAUGUCUUAAUUACUUGUGAUAUGUAACAACUCCUAUUCAUAAAUAAUAAAUUACUGUUGUAAUUAAAAGUAUAGUAAAAUAUUGAUUAUACUAUGUAACAACACCUAUUCGUAAAUUACUGUUGUAAUCAAAGCAUAGUAAAAUAUUACUUAUAUUCGUAAAAUAUUACUGAUACUGAUAUGUCAAAAAUCUCGGUAUGCUUAACAAUUCGUAAAAUACAUCCGUCUUUAAAUUGCAGUAGUAAUUUACUUCUCUUAUUACAAGGGUAGUAGUAUUUUACUGAUAUUGUCAAAAUAUCGGUAUGAUACGGACGACUUCAAACUCGCAAAUUAAUGUUGUUAUAGCUCAUUGAUAGUUAAUUAAUGUCUUAAUUACAUGUAGUAAUAAGUAACCACACCUAUUCGAAAAUUACUGCCGUCAUUAAAAUUAUAGUAACAUAUUACGUAUGCUCGGACAUGUGUGGUAAUAGUUUACUGAUAUGUCAAAAAAAUGGGUAUGAUACGGACGACUUAAAACUCGUAAAUUGUUGUUGUAAUAGCUCAUUGAAAGUGAAUUAAUGCCUCAAUUACCUGUAGUGAUAUGUAACCACACCUAUUCAUAAAUUACUGGCGUCAUUACAGGUAUAGUAAAAUAUUACUUCUAUGACAGGGGUAGUCAUUUACUGAUAUAUCAAAGAUAUCGCUAAUCCCACAGGAUAUCCUUGUUUAUUGCACCCGGUAACCAAAUAACAUUACUAACAGCUUAAGGUGUGUAGUUUUAUAGGGAGUAAUAAAUAUUUAAUAACAAGAAUAAUGAGGUUACAUUGAUAUUGACAAAUCGGACAAACGAAUAUUUUAUACAUAAAUAAAUAUUUGAAAAGAUGAUAGUGGAAACAUUGUUGCCUUGUGUAGUAGUAAAUUACCUCUUUCAUCAGAAGUGUAGUCAUCUACGGAUAUAUCCAAACUAUCGGUAAGUUACGGACUACUUCAAACUUGUAAAAAGCUGUAAUAAGCAUAAAAUGUCGUAAAUUACCUCUUCUCGUAAUAGUGUAGUAAAAUUUUAAGCUGGUUAACAAGAAACUUUUAAUCAGUUACGCAUUGUUACUCCUAAACGAACAAAUUAAAAUUUUAAAAACUGAAUUCCUGAACUUGACAUACGAACUUUUUAGGUGCUUUUAACACUCAACGAGUUGGAGAGUAAUACGACCUUUCUUCGAAUGGAUAAGGACCAUGUGGCACCAUGCACUAAGUGAUUCUUUUCUUCUAUUGAUAUUUCUAGUACUUCAUUUCCUUUGUAACAUGACAGAUAUCCAUCAUUUUCAGUAAAUAUUCAUAGCAUCAAAGUAAUUUAAUUUUUCUUGUACCACAAUAUCCACCACCCACAACUAGAAGGAAAGAAAAAGAUCUAUCGAAUACGUAACAAACAUAUUCGGUGGAAUUUUUUCUGGCAGCAUGAGAAAGAUAGAAAAAAGGUCCCCUAAUGAAAGACAAGGAAAAAAAAGGCAAAGAAAAAGCAGAAGACGAGCCACUACCUUUCACCUUCCAGAUUCUCCACAUAAAAUCAAGCAGCUAAUAUCAAUACUAAUAGCUAACAACAAAAAGUGCAAAAUGGAGUACAUCUUGAAUACACAGAUUAUAUCUUUGGCACAAUUACGCUAUUAUUAAUAGUAAUAACGCUAUUAUCCUAUUCUUCUUCUUUUUUCGUUUCUUUACCUCAUUAAUGAUGGACUCCAGUCAAAAAUCCUGGGCAGAACUAUGAAGCAAAUGCAAAAAUCCCAGGAACAACCUCUCAUUGCCCACCAUUUCAACUUUAUAACACUCUUUUAACUUUGGGGGUUNNNNNNNNNNNNNNNNNNNNNNNNNAUUUGGCUUCCGCAACAAUUCAUACUUACGAAACUGAUUGAUCUUGUAUCAAUACCUCGCCUAACCAUCUAAUUUUGGUGAAUGCUCCAACAUUAUCUCUGAAGUCUUCGUUCACGACAUAAACAAACUCCUCCAUACCAUCACAGCAUGAGGGAUGCACAUAGAGCUGCUCCCCAUAUUAAGAGAAUCAAUUUUGUUGGUGAUGCCACGAGUCAGCCUACAAAACUUCCCUACUUACCAACAAGACUCAGUUGGCAAAACAAGAGAGCUAUGACUGGGAAGUGGGAACCAAUUGGAAGGUCUAAGGGCAGCCAAGAUGAAGGCAAGGAAGGGCAAUGGCAAGUACAACUUCCAUUCCAACUGCUAUAAUCACUCUCCUCAUCCUUUGGAAUGUUUGAAAGAACAGAAACCACAACCCCAUCAUCAUCCCAAGGCAAUAGAGCAGUUAUCCGGGAUAAUCGCUCCCAUCAUCUUGUAGUGUUAUUUUUAUCCCACAUUGAAGGUGGGAUAACAAUUCCGGAAUAACUAAUUCUGGUAUAAUUAAUCCCGGAAACUUGCCCCAACCAAACGAGCCCAAACUGAAAAAAAGAAGCAUAAAGACAAAAAAAAAAAAAAAAAAAGAAACAGACAAGUCCCACGUGUGUCAUAUGUUUCAAAGUCAGUGAACAAUAAACAAAGAAAAGUAUAUGGGGAACCAAAUAUUAAAGUAAUACACUAAGUGUCCCCCUCAAUAAUACACCAUGUCAAAAAUAUUCUAUGUCCCACAUUGGUACUACAUUCCAAUUCCAUUAGUCAAAACAAACAAAUUUAGAAUCUUAUCCACAUAAAAAAAAACAAUAUAAGUUCCUCUUACCUUGCUCAAAAAUAACAAUACAAGCAUGGACCACAAUAAUUUAAAGCCCUAAACCACCAAUCAUACUGAAAUUACAUACCAUGCUAUUUAGUCAUACAUUCACGCCAAGCCUUACAGAUUGGAUUAUGCAAGUCAAGACAAGGAGAAGCCUUGCGGUCUCUGAGCUCUUCUGUUACUGUUUUUGGACAUGAUUCACACUUCAUCACCUAUUAUAGAAGAACCAUCUUUUAUAAUAAUAAAAAUAAUAACAAUAACAAUAAUAAUAUUAAUGAUAAUAACAAUAAACUUAAGUGAAUCGAAAGAAAAUAUCAGAUAGACUGAAUUUCAGACUAAAGAUUUGAUAAGCAACUAAUACCGUGCGGAGGAGAAAAUGCGUCAAAUAAGGGUAAUCGUUUGUCAUCCUAGUCAUAUAUUCAUGCCAAGCCUUAUAGAUUGGAUUAUGCAAGUCAAGACAAGGAGAAGCCGUGCGGUCUCUUAGAUCUUCUGUUACUGUUUUUUAACAUGCUUCACACUUCAUCACCUAUUAUAGAAGAACCAUCUUUUAUAAUAAUAAUAAUAAUAAAUAACAAUAACAAUAAUAAUAAUAAUAAUAACAAAUAAAUAAAUAAAUAACUUGUGUGAAUCCAAAGAAAAUAUCAUAUAGACUGAAUUUCAGACUAAAGAUUUGAUAAGUAACUAAUACCGUGUGGAGGAGAACAUGCGUCAAACAAGGGUAAUCAUUUGUCGUCUCGUCUGAUGUGUUUCCUUCAUUCCUAUGUUCAGAUGUGCUUUGCUGUUGUUCGGACGUGUUUCCGACAUUCUGUUAUUUUGGUGAUUCUCCCACAACAUUAUCCGAGAGAGUGCAGGCGUCACACUUUCUUAGCUGUUUAGAAAAACAAUAAUAUGAUGAUAAUUAUGUGAACUAACAAAUUCCAGAUACAACUAGAGGAAAAUCAUUGUGAGUUUGUGUAGUACUGAAUUUGACGAAUCCAAAACAUUCCUUAUGUUGAUCGAGCUCCUGGUUUCACCUUUUAUCAUAGGUGAUAAUGGCAGCUUUUGAGACUACAGCAUUUAGACUGUUACUCAAUUUCAGCCUUCGGUCAGCUAAUGCCUGUCAAAAAACUCAAAAUAAACAACUAAAAUGAGUUGCAUAUCUUAGUCAAAUUAUGGGCUGAACAUUUAUUUGAGAUUAAUUUGGUUCUGACCUCCAACAGUGGCAGACAUCCUUGCAAAUAGGUGACCCGAUAUUCUUUAAAUUUCCCAACAUAGUCAAUGAAGAAAUCAUAGAUAGCCUUCCCCAAUUAUGUUUCUCAAAUUCAUCUACUGAACUCCCAAAGUACGCCAGGGGCCAGAAUGACAAAUCCAGUUUGGAUUGUGGAAAGAAAAAAUAGAGAACAUGUAGCAUAUACAUAAUCUCAAAAAAUCAUCCUUCCAACCGUCAGCAUCCGUGGAAAACUCUCUAAUUUUCUCGAGGGCAUCCUUCCUAGAGAGUUUUCCUAAAUCAUGUUCAGGAAAAUAUUUUGAGUAAUAAAGUUGACGCGUUGCUUUCUUUAUCACUCAAUCAAUGAAUGUUAACAUGUUUGCCCACACAUUCAAAGCCAAGGCAAUCCUGCACCUCCUUCCUACAAAAUGACAUUCUAGAACCUCCAAUAUCAAAUGAUUUCAAAAGGAUAUCAAACCUCUUAGUCGGCUGCUCAAUUAAACCCAGACCAAUUAAACGCUCACGUAUGUCGAGAUAAUGCACAAAGAUUGUGCCUUUCAGAGCAUUUAACUUCGCAUCAUUUUCCUUUAUAGCAUCCAUUAAAAGUUUCAUACACGAGAAGGAGCACCUAGAUUGCAUAGCUCCCUUGCCUCUGCCCCUAAUUUUGAAGAGGAGCAACACAAACAAUAUUUGGUAACUUCAAUGUGACAUGAUAUCUUCAUUAAAGAAGUAUUAAAACUCUUCCUACGUAUUUCUAAUUGUGUACUUCUUAGAUUUAUUGUUAACGUACCUUUUGUUGUUGUUCUUCUUCUUAGGAGUUUUUCUAGAUAACAAAGAAAGGUAAAUAAAAUGAACUCUACGAUUAUAAAAAAAAAGUAAAGAAUAAACAACUAGUUCAGCACAAACAAAGAUUCUAUUCAAACCAAACAAAUAAAGUGCGAUAGCAAGGUGUACAUGGCCAAAACCACCACUAUCUUUACCUACAUGACCUUGGAAUACCUUGAAACAAGGUGUUCGUAUCUUCCAUAUUUAGUUUUUGUCUCAUUUCCCUAUAACAUAAUUAUGAGAUAAUCCUAUCCCAACAUGUUUUACCCCAACAACCGUAUCCUUAAGUCUUGGUUAUACAACAAGUCCCAUCACAUUCUUGUUCUAUCGAUCCUAAAAUACAAUAAUUUAUAACCUGUGUUGCUUAUCUUUCUAGCCCUUUGCCCUGUCUGUUUAGCUUCCUGUAGGCAUACGGUAUGAACUCUUCUCCUUUGUAAGGUACCCAAAAUACCAUCAACUUCCUGUCAAGGAGCCUAUGUUUCAGCUACCUACCCGAAUCUGUCUCUCAUGGACUAGCUUAUUUACCGUCAUCCGUGCACGAACCGAGAACCCUUUCUUAUUUCGCACUACAUCAGGCACUGAAAUAUAUUCCUGACAAAACUCUUUGUAUAAUUUAAGAGUUGAAGAAAAUCUAAACGGAAAAAGCAAGAAGACCCAGUUGAACAUUCUCAAUGUCUGACAAUGUGGCAUCCUACUUCUUUUCAUUAUCAAGAGGUUCCCUAGAUAUUAAAGAGAAAACAAAGAAAAAAUAGGAACUACGAUUAUAAAAAUUAAAGUAAAAAAAAAAACUAGCUCAGCACAUAUUAAGAUUCCAAUCAAUAAACAAACAAAUAAAGGGGUGUUCAAUGAUGAUCUCUCACAUAUCAUGUGCACAUGAUACUCUUAUUAUGUGCGACGAAAACGCUGGACAACGACUAUAUAUAAAUCAUAAGCUACAGCUAAAUGUUAUUGGGUGAAAACUCUCUUUUUAAAUAUCUGUUAGCUACAGCUAAAUCAUAAGCUAGAGAGAAAUAUAGGACAACCUUUCCUUCAUUAUUCCUACUGCCAUAACCAUAUUCCCUGUGUCAUUUACCGAAAAUCGUCACUAUCUUUAUCUACAUGAAGAUCUCCCCCAAUAAAGAUAAGUUGGUCGCAGACACUUAGUUUUAGCUUCUGCAUCUAAUCCAAUUUGUGGAGCAUAGGAAACUAAAAACAUUGAUUGUCCCAUACCCUAACCCCAACUUGCUUAACCUCAACAACCUUAUCCUUAAGUCUUGGUUCUACAAAUUCCCACCACAUUCUUGUUUUUAUCAAUCCUAAAUACAAUUAUCUAAAUAAGAAGUGUUGCCUAUCUCUCUAGCCUUUUGUCCUGUCCAUUUAGUUUCAUGUAGGCAUGCGAUAUCAACUCUCCUCCUUUUUAAGGCAUCACUAAAACAAGAAACUAAUUCAACAGAAAAUAAGAUUCUAAAUCAAUAAGCAAACAAAUAAAAGUGAGAACAUGUAUAUGUGUAUGUGUCUAUCUGCGGAAGUAAAUCAUAAAUUCAAUUUCUAAUUUUGUACACAGUAAAGUUAUUGUAAAAGUACCUUUUCCUAGAAGAAGCAGCAGCACCACCAUCUUUCUCUUUGGUAUGAAUAUCAUUAUCACCAAUGUUUUCCGAAGACAAUGUGACCUUCUUCUCUUCCUUAUGAUGUUGUUCGCUAGAUCUAAAAGAGAAACAAAGAAAAAAUAGGAUACGAUGGUUAUAAAAAAUAAAGAAGACUAGUUCAGCACAAAUUAAGGUUCCAAUCACAAAACAAACAAAUAAAGUGUAACACCCCAUAUUUUCGUAAGUAAAAAUAUGUCAUAAGUCAAUUGAUGUAAGCUCGGAAAUGAAAUCAUCUUUGGAAGUACAUAAAGUAAGUUACUCAUAUUACCAUGGAGGUUACAAAUAUUUAAGAUCAUGAACUGCAAGUAUCAAGAGGUCGGAAGGUUUAGAAGCUAAACGAAUCGAAGAAAAUGAGUUUCGUUGAAGUAGGCAGAGGUCCUAGGUUUGAGUCUCACCGCCACCCAUUAUCAAAAAAAGAAUUUUCACAUACUUGGCUCAUAAAAAAGAAUCAAACUCGCACGUGAGGGGUGUAUUGAGACAUAAUUAAGGAAAUAAAAAUGUGCUCUUUCUAACAGUUUAAACUUUUAGAUGAGAUGCUCACACACUUCAACUGUGAUAAUCGUAGUUAUGUGCAUAUUAUUAUUGUUGAUAUGAUAUAUGUACAGAUUUUUUGAUAAAAAUGUCAUUAACGUAUCAUGACUCUAGCCACGACCUUAUUAGGGACGGUCUAUAAUACUUACUGAGUACUCCUCGUACCCUCCCUUCUUUCUUUCUUUCUUUCUUUCUUUUUUAUGCACUUAUUGCGGAUAUCGAUCCUAACACCAGCGGGCCUUGUGGUUUGUUAUUUGUAUGAGCUCCAGUAUUGCGGUAUUCAGCUGUGAGCCAACCGCUCUAGUUUUGUGGUAGCUGGGAAUUUCUUUAUAUAUUAGCUAUUGUGAAUUCAAAUUUUAUUAUGUACUCUUAAACUCGUAGAUGCUCUUAAUUUGGUAUGGGCCUGGACUUACUUCUUGUCCAGUGUUGUGUUUGGAGGUUGUUCACGAAUUAUCUAUCUUAUCAUGUUUAAUUAGAUUUAUAUCCGUUUUGUUUAUUCAUUAAAAAUCUAAUGAAUGAGUCGAGAUUAAGGUUGAAUUGUUCGGCAAAGAGGUUGACAGGUGCCGGUCAUGAGUCCCCGCAUUUUGGGUCAUGAGCAGCAAAAAAAAGAGACUCACAACCUUGAAGUCCCGGUAAUUUAGGUCGUAAAAAGUAAGAAAAAAGACUCGCAGUUCAGAAGAGAUGGUACUUAUUUGGGGAAGACUUGAUAUUAGUUGACAGUGCUUUAGAUGCACUUCAUACUUAUACCAUGUCCCUUUUUCCUAUACCAAAGAUGGUGGAGAAGAGAACAGAUAAAUUGGGGUACGAAUGUUUGUGGCAAGGAGACAUGGAUAAGAAGUCUUUUAAUUUGUUUUACUGGAAAAGAGCUACCAAUGGCAAGAAGGAAGAUGGUUGGACGUUAGAAAUCUAAGGGCGUGCAAAAAUAGUCUUAUCAUGAAGUGGCUAUGAAUGUUAUGCAGUAAGGAGGAACCUCUGUGGAGGAAAUUAAAUAGAGAGAAAUACGAAUAAAAUUCUUGAACCACAGCAAUACCAAACAUUCGUAUAGAGUUGGAAAUUGGAAGUGUAUCAGAAGCUUAUGAAACACACUCAGAAUAAGUUCAUAUCAUAGUAGGUAAUGGAAGGAAACUUAUUUUGGAAAGAUAGAUGGAUAGGACAGAUGUCCCAAGAAGAACAAUUCUCCAGCAUUUUUAGCAUAGCAAAUAAUCACAAUGCAAUAGUGGAGGUGUACUGGUCUACGCAAGGAUAGAACCUAUGCUAAGAAGAAGGUGCAAUGACGGGGAGAGGGAGGGUUUCCAACAGCUAAUUCAACAAAAAUUAAGAUCCUAAAGUACUAAACAAACAAAUAAAAGUGAAAUCAAACACACGCGUGCACGAAAGUCAUUACUACUGCACCUUUUCAGAGUAGCAGCAGUAGCAUCAUUCAAUUGCAGAGCAUCAAUCAUUUCAUUUUCUUCAUUCCUUUCCACCGCAACAGCAGCAUUCAUUUUUCACAUUCUUUUCCCCUGCGACUUUCUUCCUUCUCUGAGAUAUUGUAGAUCUGGAAGAGAAGCAAAGAAAAAAACAACUAAUUCAACGAAAAUUAAGAUUCCAAAACGACAAAAAGCAAAUGAAAGCGCGACAACAUUGGCAUCAGAUAUAACCCAGCCAACAGAGGAAAGCAAAUAAUUCAAUAGUAAUUAAGCUGAGAAAACAAUGCAUAUACCUUUAUUGGCAGUGUAUAACAAUGAAAUAUAUUCUUGGCAGAACUCUGGUAUAUUUUAGAUCUUGAAUAUAAUCAAAGAGAAGACUACUAAUUUAACAGAAAUUAGAUUACAAAUCAAUAACUAACAUAUAAAACUGAGAUAGCAUGGAUAGAGAUGACCAACCAGCAAAUUAUUGUAAAUGUGCAAUUUGAGAAGUAUACCUUACUGUUCUCCUGUUGUAUUGCUGAAAUGUUUUGUAGUCCAUCUCACAAUUUUUCUUCCUGAACUGACUUCUUGUUUGCACUGACUUCUUGUUUGCACCAACAUCGCUUCCUAUUGAUGAGAUGACGGUUAACAUAAUGAUUACAUAUCAAGCUAAAUGGUAUAAAUUUCUAUCUAUACUUACAGAAAAUCAAUCUAUUACUAAACAUCGGGCUGUUCACUAAAAAUACUUACUUUAUUACAAUUUUGUGCAUAUAUUGUAAACCUUUUCAUAGAUUAUAUUUUCUGUCGAGUAGUAUUAGAUUUGAGCUUAUAUUCUCUAACAUAAGCCUAAUAAGAAUAAGUCAUGACUCGAGCCUGAGUCUUAAGUCCAGCAACUUGAGCCUUUUGACCACGCGAUUGGUUUUGUUCAGUCAAGCACAUUUAUGCCUUUUGGGGCACUUGAAUUUGAGAAAGCUCAUAUGCUCUCAUAGUCUCAUUCAUCUAUGUUGAAUUAGAUGAUGAUAUAAUACAACAUAAUGUUGCAAAAACUUUUCUGUUCCAUCUCGAAUCACAAUUUCAGAAACCCACCAAUACAAAUCUGAAUGAUGCAACACUUGCAGAAGCCACAAACAAAUACAUCUGAGUUAUUUCUCAUAUGAGAAAGCUUAUAUCCUAAAAUGCAUGUCAGAAUUAGAUGAUAAUACAAUAGAACAUAAUGUUGUUAUCACUUUUUUAUGUCUAUCUCUACUUACAGAAGCCCAUUAAUAUAAAUAUGAACUGUGGGUGUGUUGUUGUUGUAUGAACGGUGCAACAUCUACAAAGUCAUCAAUAUAGACAGCAAAGAUAAUUCAUGCUUGAAAACCACCAACAACAAACCCGGUAUAAUCCCACAUAGUGGGGUCUGGGGAGGGUAGUGUGCAGGGGCAGAUUUAGGGGGGUGGAAGGGUGUUCACCCGAACCCAUUCGCCAAAAAAUUACACUGAUAUAAAAGGCAAAAUCUGUUUUGUUUUUACCUCUAUAUAUUAUGUUUUGAAUCCCCUUUACACAACCCAAAAGAAUAGCUUAGUAGUCAAGGGGGUUCAAAACAUUUGUAAGGUCAUUAGUUCUAUUCUCACUAGCUACAACCUUUCUAACUUUUUCCUUUUUUGAACCUCCUUGGCGGUAAUCCUGCCUCCAUCACUGGUAGUGUGUACGCAGCCUUACCCCUACCUUAUGGAGAUAGAGAGGCUCUAUCCAAUAGACCCUCGGCUCAGAGAAGCACAAGCACCACAUUAAAUAAGAGAAAAACAAGAAUCACAACAGAGAGAAGCCAUGUAAAAGUAGCAUAAAUCACAACAAAUAAUGAGAAGACCGCAAUGAAAGAAAUGACAGGUAGUCAUAGAAAUCUAAUGCCAACAGAAUACUAAAGUACGUGCUAAUACUACCGGUAUGACAAGGAGAACACUAAACUAACUACCCUACUACCUUAAUCUUCGACCUCCACACCUUCCUAUCAAGGGUCAUGUCCUCGGUCAGCUGACGUUGCGCCAUGUCUUGUCGAAUCACCUCACCCAAAUUCUUCUUCGGCCUACCUCUACCUCUCCUUAGGUCUUCCAAUGUCAACCUCUCACACCUCCUGACCAGAGCGUCUGUGCUCCGCCUCCUCACAUGUCCUAACCAUCUAAGCCUCGUUUCCCGCAUCUUGUCCUCAAUUUGGGCCACACUCACCAUGUCUCGAAUAACUUCAUUCCUAAUCAUAUCUAACCUAGUGUGCCCGCACAUCCAUUUCAACAUCCUCAUUUCUGCUACUUUCAUCUUCUGGACAUGGGAGCUCUUGACUGACCAACAUUCAGCCUCAUACAACAUAGUUGGCCUGACUACCGCUCUGUAGAACUUACCUUUGAGUUUUGCCGGUACCUUCUUAUCACAGAAGACACCAAAAGCAAGUCUACAUUUCAUCCAUCUCGCCCCAAUACGAUGUAUGACAUCUUCGUCGAUCUCCCCAUCUCCUUGUAUAAUAGACCCAAGGUACUUAAAACUUCCUCUCCUAGGGAUGGCUUGUGAAUCCAGCCUCACCUCCCCUUCCCCUUCCACUUCCUGAGUCAUCCCACUGAACUUACACUCCAGGUAUUUCGACUUAGUCCUACUCAACUUGAAACCUCUAGAUUCCAGGGUCUGCCUCCACAUCUCUAACCUCGCGUUAACGUCGUCUCGCGUCUCAUCAAUCAAUAUAAUGUUAUCUAUAAAUAACAUGGACCACAGUACCUUCCCUUGGAUGUGGCGCGUCAAUACAUCCAUCGCUAGGGCAGACAAAAAAGGGCUAAGAGCCGACCCUUGGUGCAACCCCAUCAUGACCGGAAAGUGAUCUGAGUCCCCUCCUACUGUCCUCACCCUGGUCUUAGCUCCCUCAUACAUGUCCUUAAUCGCCCUAAUAUAAGCAACAGGUACACCUCUAGCCUCCAGACAUCUCCACAGGACCUGCCUCGGUACUUUAUCGUAGGCCUUUUCUAAGUCGAUGAAAACUAUAUGCAAGUCCCUCUUCCUCUCCCUAUACUGCUCCAUCAAUCUCCUAACAAGGUGAAUGACUUCCAUAGUCGAGCGCCGCGGCAUAAACCCCAAAUGGUUCUCGGAAUAGACAUACUCCUCCUCACCCUCAGCUCCACCACCAUCUCCCAAACUUUCAUGGUCAUGCUUGAAAACCAAUGAAACUAUUUCUUUACACCGGAAAAUAGAAAUUGUCGUAAAAAAAUUCAUACAUUACAUCAAUGUUUCAUAUAUGAUGAUGUGGCAUAGCACAUACUAGACCUUGUUGUAAUGUGUAAAAAAAACAGUAACAUCACAGUAACAGGAAAAUAAAAGCUAACCUGAAUGUAAGGAUUUCGCUUCAUAGUUACUUUCUUGGGUAAUUUCUCAGCAAGCGUUGGCCAAAAUGCACUUAAUUCAUCACGUACCUGAAGACAUAUAGUUUGGUUUCUCCUAUUAGAAGAUGUUGCACAAUGAAACUAACGAUUUAAGCAUCAAAUCAUAAGACCAAAUAUACUACUUCCUCUGUUCCAUUUAUUGUGAUGCUAUUUUCUUUUUACUAUAUCCCAAAAAGAAUAACACAUUUCUAUAUCUAGAAACAAUUUAACACAUUUCACUCGCCACGUGGAUUCAGAUGGAUUAGCCUCAGCCUCAGAAGUCCCAAGGAUUGGUUUUUUCUGUAGUAACACUUCAAUACAAGCAAGGACAGAUUUUGCAGUAGAAUCAAGAUCAUAUCCACCUUCAAGUGCCAUAACCAUCCUGCCUCCCACCAACUCCAUUACUAUAUGAUAAGUAUAUUAAAGUAAGUAAAGUUCCUAGGACAGUCACAUUAUGGAAACCAAAUGACAUGUAAAAGAGAGAAGAAAGAGAAUCAGAAGAGCUCAUUUUUAGAUGCAACUGGAGAAUGCAGGAGAAAAGACCGACAGAGGACUCGGAAGUAAAGAAGAGACGUAACUACUAACUAAAAUCACAGUACUUAUAACAAUCACUUUGAGCUCACCUUGUGCAACAUCAUAGAAUACCCAUACGGAGUAACACAACAUUCACCAAGAGGAUCGCCAAUAGCUGCUCACAUCAUAAAAAUAACACCAUAAGAGUAAUAAAUCAAGCUAUAUAGACGAGAGCAAAGAAGAGAAAGUUGUAGCAAUGAUUACUUCUAAAUAGAUUAUCAGAAAGAAAAUAUGAGUAAUGUAGAAUGUUCUUUUAGGGAAUAAAGGCAUGUCUCAUGUUGCCAAAUAUUUUACACCUCUUAGCUAAGCAGGAUUUCAUAAAUGUUAAACAGUUAAAGGAUAAGAAAAGAAACAGCAUGUGCAUAAGAAAUCAAUUGCUGAAAGUCUAUAUGAUAAGAAAUAGAUGCAUCAUAAUUUCUGCACAGUAUAGGUUUCAGCAUUAACCGCAAACCAGUUAAUGAAAAAGGCUUGCUACCCCCCCCCACCCACACACACACACACACAACCAAAGGGAAGUCAAGUGGAUUUCUAUCCAUACAUAAGCAUGUGUUCCCAUAGUACUGGUUAUGCGGAACAAAUGAUAGACCGAAAGAAUAAAUUAGGCAACGGCCAUUGUUGAUUACAACAACAGGGCAUAACAAAAAAGGUCCAUUAUGCAGAACCCUUCAGUUUCCAUGUAUUUGUAAGCCUUAUCCGGUUUAUAUCUCUAAACUUCCCGAAGGAUCCAGCUUUAAAUCAGAAAUGUCUAUAUCAAAUCAUAAGGGAGAAAAUUUUGAAGAUGUCAAAGUUUAUUACUGCUGCAGCAAAAGAUGCAAAUCCCAAAGUGCAAUAUUUUCAAGGAUAAGAAGUGACGAAGCCUGCAGUAGAUACAAAUUACAGAUACAAUAAACUGUAUCAAGUGGAAUAUGGAUAGUUUGAUCAACAAAUAUCAAUGCCCAAAAAAUUGAAGCUGUUGUAAGAAAAUGCUUUUAUAAUCAAGCAUGUAAAAUUUAAAAACUUGAUAACUGAAGUUGCGAGAGAAAGGAGAUAAUAAAGGAAAAAAUAUACAAAUGGCCAGAAGAUCUCAACAGAUGUAUCUCCCAAGUUUCUACUUACCUGCAUCAAAUCCAGCAGAUAUCAUAAUCAGGUCAGGGCAGAAUUCUUUGGCAAUAGGAACUAAUAUAUUGUCCCAUACAGCAAGAUAAUCUGCAUCAUCACACCCGGCAUUCUCCCAAGGAACAUUUAUGUUGUAACCUGCUCCAGGCCCUUCUCCAAUCAUGACAUGUGAUCCGUCUUCACCAUCUGGAUAGAAACUUCCGGACUCGUGCCUAGUUGGGAUACAGUGAUACACCCAAAAAAAGACUUAGUUGGGACAGCUAAUGAUACACCAGACCCACAAAAAAGACUUAGUUUUGAUAAUUUAAGACAAUAAUUCAGCCUUCGGGUUUCGAGAAUAACACGAAGAGUAAAAGCAAAGAGUACAAUUCCCAAAUACGCUCAAAAUUCUUUCAGGAAGCUUUCACGUAUCUUGUUGUAUGAUGUCACAUACGAAUAGAAAAAACAAGUAAUAACUGAAAAUGUUACAAAUACCUAUGUACAGAAAAGAAAAGUACUCGAGGGUCCUUCCAGAACAUUUUUUGAGUACCAUUUCCGUGAUGAACAUCCCAAUCAACAAUCAAAAUCUUUUUAAUGCCCAGAUCAACCUGCAUGGUGUUAUUUAGCAUAUUAAAUCACAAUAUGUGCACAUUGCCACCAAACUAAUCAAAGAUCUGGAUGAGCUCUGACAGCUGAUGAUUAAAAAUUGCACUUACUCUUUCAUCCAAGAGAUAACUUGUUGCAAUACCAACAUUGUUGAACAGACAAAAUCCCAUUGGUUCAUCUUCUUCAGCAUGAUGACCAGGAGGCCUGACAAUGGCAAAGGCAGAAUCCAGUUCUCCUUCCGCAACUUUCUCAGCAACCUAUAUUGUGCAUACACCUAAGAUUAAAGCCCUCUAAAAUAGUAAUGUGUUGCAAUCCCUUCAAACCCCAAUUCUAUAACUGCAUCACCGGAAUCAGGAGUGAGAGGACUAGUUGUAUUGAUGAUCACAUUGUAGCAAGAAACAAGUUUCAUAAUCCAGUACCAAAGAGCUUAUAAAUGAUCAUGUAAAAUUGGGCAGAGGUUUUACAUCUGACACUGAUGCUCAUAAUAGCAGAUGGAUAAAACAUAGAAUGGUCCAGCUAAAAGGCUCUUGCAAAUAUUUUUCUUGUUAUCAAAAACAAUUUCAAAUAGAUCAUGAAACAGCAAACAACAGCAGAUUCCUUUAGUUCAAUUAGUCUAAAUUUGCAAGCGGAAAUGCUGCGGGUGGACGGAAUUAUUUGUAUAUCUGUCAUUUCUUUUGGGUCAGUUAACAAGCUAGAGAAAAGUGACAUCCAAUGAGACUUAUGCAUACAACAGAUUCUGAGUGCCAUACCUCAAUGACCGAACCAGCAGCAAGAUAAGCGGCUUCUGAUGAGCCUUCAUUGAAAUAUAUGGAAUUAAACUCCUCAAGAGUCCUCUUUCUUCUUGAAAAUUUCUCUGAACUUAUUUGUUUAAUCAAAUUAAUGUGACCUUUGGUGUGAACCAAUUCUAUAUCUUUAUCUCUUGCUUCCUUUGCAUUCAGAAUAAGGCAUCUGAAACAGAACAGAUCACUAAUACCUUUUAGAACGAAUUUACUUGAUUUACCCGCUACAUCGGACAAAAAUGGAAAAGAAAAUGAAGCGGAUCAAAAUACUUCAUGGAGAAUCCAAGAAUAAAAUAAAAUAAAAAACAGAUACAGUUAUACUCCAUUUUGUUCCAUCUUAUUGGCACUCUUCCCAUAAGAAUGACAUCUUUUUAUAUUUAGAAACUCUUUAACUUUAAACUUCUCCUUGUGCACUUAAUGACAUACUCUUAUAGCCAUAGAUAUGUCAUGGCAUGUUUGACCAUAAGCUCGUAGAGACUUUUGGAGUAUGUCAAAACUCUUUCUUUCUUAAACUUCAUUCCCCGUCAAACACCAACAUAUUAAAUGAAACAGAGAGAGUGACAUUUACAUCAAAAGAUUCAGGCUUUGAGUUAUCACCCUACAGAGAGAGGUUACUAAAAUCAUGUUAUGUGGGUUUCGCAAAACAUAACCUCCCAAACCAGAAAAAAAGACAAUCAGCGUAAAGAUAGUAAAUUAUGAUAAAUCCUCCGAAUGGACACAAGGAUUCAUAUAACUUCCAACUUGUUCGGAAUUGAAGUAUAGUUGAGAUAGUGGGUUGCUAAGCAGAUAACAAGGAAUUACAAGAAAAUCACCAAAGACAUAGCCAGUCUGUGACUCAGUUCAUAAGAUAGGCAUGUUUGAGUCUUAAGUUAGCACCAACACAUAAAAUAGACAUGUUUUACAAUAAAAAUUAAACGGAAUUUAGGAAUAAAAAGCUCAAAAUGAUCGAACACUAUGGAUGUGUUUGGUAUGGAGGAAAACAUUUGGUCAAAAUAUCUUGGAAAACAUUUUCUCUAGGAAAGCAAGUUCCUUAAAAAUCAGAAAAAUAACUUCCUUGGUGAGAGUAUGCAAAACAAGUUCUAUAAGUGACAUUCCACGCCCAUUGUCUCCUCCAAACCCUACCCUACUACCCCUGCCACUCCCCAACCCCGUCUGAUCCCACCUCCACGGGGCAGAGGAUCCAGUACAUUAAUUAUGGGUUCCCGUGAACCCAAUAACUUUUGUCUAGACCUUGUAUUUGUAUUGAAAAAUUUAUUAAAUUUAUAAGAAUAUUUAAUGUGGAACCCAGUCCGUUAAUCCAAUUAUUAUUGUAUAUUAACUUGAGAUUUCCAUAGGAAUCCAUAAACUUAAAAUCCUGGAUCUGCACCUCCACCUCCACCACAGCCCCCAUGCUCACACCCCCACCCACCCCACUACAUCCCCAUUGUUUUUCCUAAAUUAUAUUUUCUGCUUACUUGUUAAACACCAUAAAAUAAGCAAGAAACUCACUUAUUUUCCAGGAAAACAUUUCACAUUUUCCUAGUGGAAGACAUUUCCCUUGGUCAAACACGCCAUGUUCUCGCCAAUCGUAAACAUACUAUCUUCCAAAACUAGCUUUUACAGCCCAAUUAACAAUUCCGAGCACUCAGAACACUGUAGAAUCACAAUAUGCAGCUUAAUCAUAGCAUAAUCACGCCUCACAAACCCUAGAUGAUCUCAUGCAAAACCCAAAAAAAAAAAAACAAAUCAGGUGAGGAUGUAACAUUUAUCUUGAGUUUAAUUCUCUGAUUACCUAUUAGUAACUCCGGAAUACUGGAGCUUUUUCCAGAUGGCACGGAUACGAUUAGGGCUUUCGGGAUGGCGAUUAUCGUCUGUGCAUGAAUGCUUACACAUUCCCUCGUCGUAUAUCAACCCAACCCGACGAUCCCUGCUUUCUUCAAUGUUAGUAUUCACCCCCAUUGAACAAUGCAGUGAUGAAAAUUAGUGGAGCUAGUAGCUACCUUCUGGCUUCUGCUGAUAUUAAAUGAUUCACUCUUUUUGUAAUCCUUUGCUUGAGCACUAGAAAUCAAAUGUCAGUCUUUUGCAUAUAUCAAGCCCACUGUUUGAAAAACAGGGCGAAGAUUGUGUAGAGAAUAUAAUCAAAUUGACAUGCAUUAAUAAUGUGACAGAUUUUCGGUCUUCUUCUUCUCCGUCGAUUUCGAGUCUCCUCUUUACGAUGCUUUUUCACAUGUCGUAAAUAUGUUGCGAAAGCAAGUAUUAUGUCCGAUAUUAUAUGGUAUGAUUAUCAUUAUUUUGGGAAUUAAAUAACUUUUUUACAAUUGUAUCAAAGUAUUUUUCAAAAUUCUUUUAUUAUAAAAUUUUACACAACAUUAAUAUCUUAUCUUUGAUCAAAUAUUUAUGUAUGUGAUUAGUUUUUGGAAACGUGCAUUGCACCUAUAAACUUCUUAAAAUAACAUAAAUAUGUAUCGUCUAAAUGUUUAUAUAAUUAAUUAUAUCACAAAUAUAAAAUUUUAUUAUUAUGAACAACUUAGUUAAUUUAACGAAAAGAAUAUGUCAUUACUUUUAUUACUGUGUAGUGAUUGAAUAUUGGCUUGGCAAAAUUGCAAAAGUUUCUAAAGUCUUCAGUUUGCUUUGUUCAUGUACCUAUUAAAAAGGUUCUAGCAUAUGAAAUUUGCUUAAUGUAAAUAAUAAAAAAUAAUUAUAAAAUAAGCUAUACGUCUAGAAUUUCAAUCAAAUUUAUAUAAAGAAACAUUGGAGAAGAGAAGAGAAGAAAGAUUAUUUAGAAGCUUUUGGAUGGAAAGGAAAAAAAAAUGUAGCAUUAAACCCUCCUUGUAUUUUAUUUCAUUUAAGUGUUUCUGAACAUAUUAUUUCUUGUAAUAUAUAAUAAUAUUUAUUAAUAACUUUAUAUAAAGGCUUGCACUUUACAAAGAAAGUUAAAAAUGAAAAAAUGAUAAAUAUUUUUUUAGUAUCAUGUUAUGCUUCACAAAUUGCAUCCUCAACUCUAUUGGACAAAGCUUUGUAUCACUUGUUACACCUACAACAAAAAUAUUCUUAGCUUCAACACAAGUUGGGGUUCAAAAUAUUAAUAUUUCAUAUGAAUCCAAAUUAAUAAAUUAUCUUGAGUAAUAAAAUAUAGAAAACAGAAUGAAAAUAAUGAUGUUUUUUCCUUAAAUAGAGCACUCUGAUACUCAAUGCAAGGAAAGAUGGCAAUAAUAAUAAUUUUACCUACUUUUUCCAUAAUAGUUACAAUAAAAUGAUCUCCAAAUAAAUAAAUAAGUUCUCAUGAUUCCCGAGACAUAUCAUAAAAAGUGACAUAAACACUUGAAGUGCUAUUGCAAACUACUGCUACUACUAAUAAUAAUAAAAAAAUAGAGAAAGUAUUAGUUCAAUAUAUAAGCAUUGUGAUGAAUUUGCUAGCAGCAUGCAGCUAAAGAGAAGAAAUCUGAGAUGAAGAAUUGAGAGAAAUUUCAUAGAAAAGAGGAAAUGCUUUGUUUUCUGUACAAAACGUAAUGAAGGUAAAGAAGCUACUAAAGUGUUUUUAACUAACUAACCGCCUAAGUAAUGACAGUUGUACUUCACUAACUAUCUCACUAACUAUAGUUAAGUUAACUAACUGCAAUUAAGCUAACUAAGAUUAACCUACAUCCUUUACAUCCCCUCUCAAGCUAGGACUGGGAAAAACGUUGAGAAGUCCUAGCUUGGACAUCAAAUAUGAAUGUUGAAGUCGACCGAGUCCUUUUGUAAGGAUAUCAGCUUCCUGCUCUAUUGUAGCACAAUAGAAAGUGGAGACGAGGCCUUGUUGAAUCUUCUUACAGAUGAAAUGACAGUCAAUGUCAAUGUGCUUUGUGUGCUCAUGAAAGACAUGAUUGGCAGCAAUAUGAAGAGCUAAUUUGCUAUCAUUGUAGAUAGGCGCGGGGGAAUGAUGUUGCACUCCUAGCUCCUUGAGUAAGCCAAGGAUUUAUAUAACCUAUGCAAUAGUGGAAGCUAGGUUGCAAUAUUCAGCUUCAGCUGAGCUUCUAGAAAUAGUGGAUUGUUUUUUAGACUUCCAAGAUAUCAGGGAAGUACCGAGCUUAACGAAGUAGCAUGUAACUGAUUUGCGUGUAUUAGGGCAUACAUCCCAGUCUGCAUCACAAAAUGUUGAUAGUGAUUCGGAAUAAUGAGCAGUCAAGAGAACUCCCAAGUCAGGACUAUUCUUGAUAUACUUGACUACCUUAAGUGCAGCUUCCAUAUGAGAGACUUUAGGACUAUGCAUGAACUGGCUUAAACUUUGAACAGCUAAAGAAAUAUCUGGCCUUGUGAUGGUCAAGUAAAGGAGCUUUCCCAAGAGCCUUUGAUAUGGUCCUGGAUCAGUUUACAAUAUGUCAUUAGAUGAUCCUGUAUGAGUGUCAAAAUUCAGUCGUAGUAAGCUUCACAUUAGGUUCUAUAGGGCAGGAUACAGGCUUGGAACCUGAGAGUCCCAACUCAGCUAUGAGCUCUAGAGCAUAUUUGCAUUGGUGCAUUAAUAUACUAUCACUAUUUUGUGCAAACUCUAUGCCUAUGAAGUAUUUAAACUCUCCUAGGUCCUUGAUCUUAAAUGAGGAUUGUAAGUCAUCCUUGGUCUAUUGAAUCAUGACAAUACUAUCACUAAUGAUAAGGAGAUCGUUAACAUAUACUAGGACAACCACCAUGUGAUAUGCUGCUCUUUUGAUGAACAAGGAAUAAUCCAAAUGACUCUGCUGAAAACCAGCAUCCACCAAGGCUGGUGUUAGCUUGAGAUUCCAUUGUCUGGAUGUCUGCUUAAGUCCAUAGAAAGACUUAAGCAGUUUGCAAACUCUGGAUUUAUUUUUUGAUCCCCCUGAAACCUUGAGGUAUUUCCUAUACACCUCCUCAGAAAGAUCACCUUACAAAAAGAUAUUGUAAACAUCCAUUUAAUGAAUAGACCAUUGUCUUAUGGCUGCAAUGGACAACACACUUCUAACAGUAACCAUUUUUACCACAGGUGAAAAGGUUUCUUGAUAGUCUAAACCUUCUCCUCUGAUUAUACCCUUUAGCUACCAAACGAGCUUUGAACCUUUCUACUUCUCCUUAUGCCUUAUAUUUGAUUUUAUAAACCCAUUUGCAUCGUAUUACCUUCUGUCCCUGUGGCAAAGAUACCAAUUCCCAAAUCUUGUUAUCCUCUAGUGCCUUAAUUUCUGCCUGCGUUGCCUCUACCCAUCGCUUGUCCUUUACUGCCUCUGAAUAUGAUGUAGUUUCCACCUCAACUGAAAAGUUAGCCAAGUAGCUUUGAUACUUUUAAGAAAAUACUUCAUAUCCAAUUACUUCUGAGAUAGGGUAUCUGCAACAACUUGCAGAGUUUAGCCUGUCAUUUCUAACAUAAUCCUUAAGCCAUAUUGGAGGCUUAGAUACUCUAGUUGAUUUUCUUGUUUCCUCAGCAUGAGGUGGAGCAAAAGAAUUACGAGGACUAUCAAUAUUAUUAUGCUCAACAGAAUGUGGAAUGUCCUAUUCAUUUAAGGGAACAUGAGUCACAACAGGUGAACAUGGCACAUUGGUUACUUCAGGAUGAUUACCAGCAAUAGAACUAGCUACAUCAUUUGGUUCCUCAGCAAAAUCUUUUAUUGGCACUGGAGUCAUAUUCAAGAAUAAUGGUUCCGAUGAGUCUUCUAUUGUAUGAAAAGGAAAUAUAUCUUCAUAGAAUACUACAUCUCUACUUAUAAAGAACACUCUAUUUUCCAAAUCCAAAAGUUUGUAGCCUUUCUGAUGUGCAACAUUUCCCAGGAGGACUGACCUCAUAGCUCGAGGUGCAAAUUUAUCAUGACCUGUCAAGUUAGUAGCAAAACAUAGGCAUCCAAUUACCUUUAGAUGUGUCAGUGAAGGUAUCUUACCCAAAAGCAAUUCAUAUGGUGACUUACGUGCCAUAACAAAAGAAGGAAUUAUGUUGAUGAUGUACACAUCAGUAUCAAAUGCAAUGCCCCCCAAUAUUUAAUAGGUAAAUGGUCUUGAAAUCUAAUUGCUCGAGUAGUCUCGAGUAUGUGUCUAUGUUUCAUUUCCACAACUCCAUUAUGCCGGGAAGUAUAUGGACAGGAGCUUUGAUGGACAAUCCCAUGCAGUUGAAAGAAGUCACUACAUGCACUGUUAAAAAACUCACUCCCAUUGUGUGAUCUAAACAUUUUAAUUUGCUUCCCAAAUUGUGUUUUGAUCAUAGUAAUAAAGUUUUUGAGUAAGAAAGUAGCAUCAGAUUUAAGUCUCAUAAGAAACACCCAAGUCCAUAUGGUAAAUUCAUCAACCAAUGUAAGAAAAUAUUUUAUAGCAUUGCGAGUAGCAAUUUUAAAAGGUCCCCGCACAUCCAUAUGAAUCAAAUUAAAACUAUGUAAACUUCUGCUAGUGCUAGUUGGAAAAGGUACUCUAGUUUAUCGUGCUAGGGGACAAACUUCACAUUUAGACAUUGAAUCAUUAUCUAGUGUACCACUACAGUGUUAUAUACUAGGAAUCCUUCUGAGAACUUGAACUAGAACAUGUCCUGUUCUCUUAUGCCAUAUCUCUAUGCUUCCUUUACUAGUUGCUGCAAAUGCUGUAUUUAUUGUCUUUCCUAAUGCUGCUGGUAGUAGGUACAUACCUUCUUCCUUUCUACCAAUCUCCUUCACCAUCCCAGAUAAGAGGUCCUGAAAUACACAACAUUUAGGAAAGAAAGUAACACUGCAUUUAAGAUUCUCUGUCACUUUAGAAACUAACAUGAGAAUUGAACUUAAAGGCUAGUAACAUACCGCAUCUUUCAGUACAUCACCUCCAGUGAGCUGACACUCUCUUAUACGAGAAAUUAGUGCUGAAUCUCCAGUAGGUAAUUGCACUUCUCCUGAAUUUCCUAUUGAAGUUUUAUUUUUUAGUAAAUUUUGUCAUCAGUCAUAUGGUUAGUAGCACCGCUAUCUACUAUCCAUUUGCAAAGUUCAAAGUUUCACAUAAUGUUACAUUACCAUAAAAAUAUUUACCUGCCAUAUUGGCACUUGCUCCUGCAGUAGAACCUUUAUUUAGUAGUUGCAGCAAUUGAUUGUACUGUUCCUUGGUGAAGAAUUGAGCUGGUUCAACAUUGCUGCUUGGUUGAUAUGUGUUUUUUGUUGGUGAAAUUGUCAUUCCUUGUUGUCUAGUUGUGUCAAUCAUGAUUGCAUUUGCUUUCUUCUUCUGCUUGAAAUCAGGUGGAUAUCCAAUAAUUUUGUAACAAAUCUCCUUUAAAUGUAUUGUCCUGUUACAAAAAUCACAUUUCAUUAGUUUGUAACAUUCAUUUCUAGUAUGGUCUUUCAAAUGACAAAAAUCACAUUCUAAACUAUAGUUUCUCCUUGCUCUAGAUGUAGAAUGGGCGGUAAACAAAGCAGUAUGAUCAUUAUGCCCAACUUGCCCAUAAGUACCACCAGUAAUCAAUUUCCUACUUUCAUCCCGAACCACCAUAGCAUAAGCCUUAUCUAUAGAUGGUAAAGCUGGCAUCAAUAGAAUCUGGCUCCUUGCUUGCUCAAAGUUCUCAUUCAAUCGCAUCAAAAAUUGUAGCAGUCGUUUAUACUCCAAUUAAUCAACAUACUCAGUGGCUGAUGGAGGAGGUGACAUUAUCGAAUCAUAUUCUGUCCUGAGAUCUUUUAACUUGGUAAAAUAAGUCGAUACUGACGAAAUCCCAUGUAUUAAAGUAAAUAUUUCCUUGUGCAAGUAAUACAACCUCGAUGCUUUUGCUUUUUCAAAUCGCUCCUUGAAAGCAGCCCAUACCUUCUAUGCAUUCGAAGAAAAAAACACUCCUGUAACUAAAUCUUUGCUCACAUUGCUCAUGAGCCAUGUAGUCACAAUUGUAUUACACCGGUCCCACUGACUUCCCAAACUUGGACCAAAAUCUUCCUUCGAUGUCGAUCCACCAACCAAACACAAUUUGUUCUUACCUAACAGUGCUAUUCAUCGCACGACUCCAAAGAGAGUAAUUUUCCAUACAUGUUAAUACGAGUCCCGCCAACAUGGAUCCUGGACCAUCAGACGCAUGCAAAAAAAAAGGAUGAUUGUGAUCUAAAACAAUUGAACUAGGUACUACUCUGGUGUUCGCAUCAGCUCCAAUAUUCUCGUUAACAGUCAAAUUCUCAUGAAUCGCCAUUAAAAAUUGCAAAAUUAGGGUUCAAAGCUUCUAAACUUGAGUAGAUUCUCUCGAACUAUCUUCAAUUUCGCGAAGAAAUUCCCUAGAAUCACUCGAUUAAUGGCUCUGAUACCAUGAUGAAUUUGCUAACAGCAUGCAGCUAAAGAGGAGAAAUAUGAGAUAAAGAAUUGAGAGAAAUUUCAUAGAAAAGAGGAAAUGUUCUGCUUUUUGUACAAAAUGCAAUGAAGGAGAAGAAGCUACUACAGUGCCUUUAAUUAACUAACCGCCUAAGCAAUGACAGCUCUACUUCACUAACUAUCUCACUAACUAUAGUUAAGUUAACUAACUGCAAUUAAACUAACUAAGAUUAACCUACAUCCUUUACACAUUGCCUUUGCCGCGAUCUUUACAUCUCCAAAUUACCAUAGUUUUUGUUUUCAUUGUGUAAUGUUUGUAAUAACAAUUAUAAAGAGCAAAAAGAUAUAAAGGCAUUACGUGAGAGUGUAAAUCAUAUAAUUUCAAUAAAAUUGUUAAACUAUAUUGUGAAGGUUUUGAUCACCAUUAUUUUUUUCUAAAAUAUAUUUCAAUUGAUUUAAAUUUUAAUUUGCAAGAGUUUCCCAUCUGUAAAAUAUUUGCAGCUAAUUGAUUAUAGUAGUCCAUUGAAAAACUCCUACAUUGACUGCGAGACACCUCAUUACUGAUAUUUUAUAAAUCAACGUGCUAAUAAAAUUGCAGGAUUUUUUUGUUGACGAAAUUCAGAAAUAUACCCCUCUACCGGAAAAAAACCUUUUUUUUUAUAUAUAUUGUUGUUAUUUUUAAUACGCAUUUUUAUGGUACUAAUAUAUCAUCUCCUAUUGCUUUUUGAGCCGAGGGUCUCCUGGAAACAGCCUCUCUAACCUUCGGGGUAGGGGUAAGGUCUGCGUACAUAUUACCCUCCCCAGGCCCCACUUGUGGGAUUAUACUGGGUCGUUGUUGUUGUCGUAAUUUUUUUUCAACAGUAGUAAAAACGUGUUUACCAUAAGACAAAUAAGCUUUGUAAAUUAAUAUUAACGUUAUAUUGCCCCAUAAAUUGAUUCGUUAAUAGAAGUAGAGCUUUACUAAUAUGCUUUAUAAUAUCUUUAUACAUUUGACAAUGUAAGAUAAUUAUACGAAGUUUGAGCAAAAAUAUUCAAACCAUUAUACUUCAACUUUAGCAUUAAAUUAAUGAUCCAGUCAAACAUGUUAUAGCUAUAACUCAUUGUAUUAUAAGUAAUACGAUUCUUUAAUUUGAUUUUAUUUUAUCCAUAAGUAUACUCUAUAAUUAUUUUAACAUGUCUUUACAAAUAACUUAUGAAUAUUGACUAAUAUUUAGUUGUUAGUAACGUUUAUUACUGAUUGAAUCUCUUUCCCUAAUUUUGCACGAUUUGUCGGCAUACAAUUAUAAAUUCGCAUCAAAAUAACGAACCUUUUUAUCAUUUACCUACUAAUGUCUGUUUAAAUUAAUUGCAUCUUAUCGUAUAUUAUUUAAAAUAUCUAUAACUUAAAAACACACAUCUCAUCAUAUCAUUGCAAAUAAAUAAUAUACCAUUUAAAAUAAAAUUAUUUACAUAUUUAAGUAACAAAUCAAAAUUGUUUCCGUUUUUCUGCUAUAGACAGCACAAAACAUUUUGAGUAACCUUCCCCUCCACAUUACCUUAUAUUUAUUACUAGAUAAGUUUCGGCCCGUGCAAAAAUACGGGCCCAACAAUUUCAGUUUGAUGUAAUAGUUAGCCAAUUAAUUAGAGAUGUUUUUACUUUUUAGCUACUAUUUAAAAUGUAUUUACUUUUUAGUCAGUGCUUAAUAAUUUUUUAUCCGCCCGGAUAAAAAUACCUCAGUGCUAAACAUGGUUGAUGUAUAAAUAUUAAAGACAUGAUGUCCUUAACUUCAUGAAUGUUGUAUAAAUAUUAAGGACAAAGUGUCUUGUAUUUGCACAUUACGUUGUUAAACUUUAGGACAUCAUGUCCUUAACAUCAUUUGUGUAGUGUAAAUAUUAAGGAUAUGACGUCCUUAACUUCAUGUUUGCAGUGUAAAUAUUGAGGACACCAUGUCCUUAAUAUUUACACAAUACAUGAAGAAAGGGUAAAAAUAUUUUUUCGGGUUAAUUUUAAUAGAGUAGUGGUUAUUUUUGCUCAGCAUUCAAAAUACUAGAUAAAAACUAAAUAUCUUGUUAAAAAGUAGUUAUCCCACGCCAUUUCUACUCGUUUGUAUGUUGGAUAUUUGUGCAUUCCCUAAUUCCUAAUAGUAAUACAUUUUGCUAUUGUCUUUGUUUUAAAGAGCUUGUUUUAUUUCUUCCAAUUUCGAGCAAAGGUUUAUGUUGAAUGUAUUUAAUAGGAAAUGAAAUUUCAGUAGCUUUAUCCUAGAACAGUAAGAAUAAUCAUGGAAGCUUUUUUUCCUCUGCUCCUUUUGUUCUUCGAAUGUCCUCCUUUUUUAGGGAUUUACUUCUAUUUUCUUUCUUUUUAACAUCUCCUUUUUUUUUCGAGGACCCUCCCAUUUAACAACUUAACAUAAAUAUAGUGGGAAAUACUUUUUUCACUUUCCACUUAUAUUUUCUGAAAAGUGAAAGUGACGAAAUUACCAAUUUGCUUCGUUGAACUGAAACUUUUCUAACUAAAUAUAUAUUAUGAUAAAUUUUGCAACCCAUAUUGAGCUUAUUGAUACAAACAAAUAUAUAAAGAAAGUUUCUUUUUCUCUUUUAUUUAAUUGGAGUUUCAAUAUGUUAUCCGGAAAAAAUUUCAAAUCCAAAUUAAAAUGUACAUUGAUUGAACCUCCCUUUCUAGACUAAUUAAAUCCUGCUUAAGCCAUUCUUCGCCAAAAAUAUUUGAUAUUCAAGAAACUUCAAAAGUAUAACAAGCUACAACUUUUUUUUCAUUAAUAAAUAAAUAAGUAAUGAACUUAAUUAAAUGUAAACAUAACCUCGACAAUUUAAAAAUCAAAUUCUAAUAUCGAAAUGCUUGUAAACUUUCUUUCAAAAUAAGAUCGUACAAAAGAUAUUGAAAAUUUUAAUAAACAUAAUUUAUUAUUAUAAACAUAAAUUAAUGAGUUGAGCUUAACAAAAGGAAUGAAGAUUCAUAUCGUCGGCCCCAACUUAUUCAGGGCUAAUGUAUAAUAGUUGUUGUUGUUGUUGUUAUUGUUGCGUUUAACUUUUCUUGUCCUUCAAAAUGCAUGUUAUGAAAGGACAUUUUUCUCCAUUUUCUUGCUUUAGCCGGAAUCUUUUUAAUCAAAUUUGUAUUAUGCUAAAAAUUUUGAGUUAAAAAACCUUUAAUUGCCUAUUAAGAGUAAGAUAAAAUAUCAAGAUUAGACUUAAAAGAAAUAUUUAUAUUAAAAUAGUAUAAAAUUUAGGUGUGAUCAAGAAUUAGUUGUUCACGGGCAGUAUAAAAAGGUUCAAAAAUGAGGGUUCCAGGAUUUUUCACAUUUCUAACAUUUUUAAGAAAUACAUUGAUUAGUAUGUUCAUUUAUAGUGAUACUAUUUAAGUUAACUCGUAAAUAAGCACACUAAUUAAUUAAAAUUUUGAAGCUCUAGUAUAACAUAAAGUAACAUUUGAAUAAUAAAUAUAGCUUUGUCAACAUAUGAUACCAACAGAAUCUAUCAAGAAAAAUAUCAAGAUUUUGUGACACGAUUACAAGAAAUACCAAAAAAAUUAACAAUAAUUUAAAAUGUGAUAUGGCUAAGCAUACGUGAAAGAAGAAUUAGCCAAAAAACAAUCUACUGUAUCAACGAAGAGGCCAAAAAAGAAGGGAAGUACCAUAAUCUCAAUGCGGGGCCCACCUUUUCAGAUUGAAAUAGCCAAAGGCCAACAGUGCUUUUCCUGACUUGAGAGUACCAGAGUGGGAUCCACAAAGGGGCAUUUUUAGUCCGGGCACUCAAAAUUUAAUUCAGCGCAACCACAGUAAAAUUCCACUUGGACCAAUGAUAUUACACGUUUUUCAUGAAAUGACCAUAACGCCCUAGAGUUGCCAGGCAGGCAUAUCGUCCAGUUGCUAACUCCCUCUUAUUAGAUAGUAGAAUUAUUAUUAUUAUUAUUAUUAUUAUAAAAAGAAAAAGAAAACUCACGUUUGCUAUUAGAAAAGAAAAAGGUAACCUAUUUUUCUCUCUUUGUCCACAUUUAUGAUCACGUAAACCACAUUUUUGGAGGGAAAAUUUUAAAAGACCAAACAAUUAUUCCUAUACUAUAAGAUGCCAUUCGAUUGUUCAGAAAUUUAAAUUGCAAAAAUAUUUAAAAGGUUGGCUCCACUUGCUGCCUCUACGUGUCAGUAUGUAAUUGGAGAGUCACGCAAUUUCUUCCACGACCCUUCUGAAAAUGUACCAAUCGAAACACAAGCUCCGAACCUCUGGUUCGGAUCCGAACCAAACCGAAGCUUAGACUCGAGCCGAACCUAACCUCGCUCCACAGUAGUUCGUUGAAAAUUUCGCACUAUUUUCGAUCACUUUAUCUCUCUCUCUCUCCAAUCAGCUCGUUUUUUCUCUCUCUUCAGAGCUACCAUUUCCUAUCGUCGAUUGAAAAACCCUAGAAUUCGAAUACUCUAAGGAUCCAAGCUCCAUUGGUGUCAGCUUCAACAUUUGCGUGAGUUUAAUUUAUGAAUUUAUCUUCAGAUACUGUUAUAAAACCCUAGUUUUCUCUAUGCAUGCACCAAAUGUUUUGCAUUCGAUGGACACAUUUAGUGCUGGAUUUUUGGUGUUUUGAGGCUCUAGUACACUAAAUUUGCAGCUUAUGCUACCAUUUUGUUCUUAAUUGUUAGGUCAAUUUGUGUUUUUUUAAUGACAAUGGUGUCCGGCCCAACUUGCACUCAGUUAGAUUAUUUCACCGGGUACCUGCUACCUCCUAGUAGCAAACAUAACGAGUAACUCUGCCCACUAAGGCUUAGGCAGAUGUGAAAAAAUCACCUAGUUUUUUUGUCUUUUCUAGAAUUUGAACCUUGGUCUCCCGUGCUUUUCACUGCAUUGACUGCUAUGCCACAUCCUUGGGUGCUUAAGUAAAUCACUAUGUAUUUAUGUUUUUGAGAUUUUUUAGAUGAUGCUACCUUUUUAGGUUUUUGACAGAGUGUGAUUGGCAUUUAGCAAUAUGUUGCCCCUUCUAAUGCAAUGUGAAUGGGUGCUGAUCUGCUUUCGGCUCCAUUUUUGUAGAUUAUGUGGGCAUUGAACUUGGAAUCUGUCUUUUAAAUUUCUAUGUAUAGUUUUAUGUUGAUUUUACUUUGGAAUUAUCAUUCUUGGAACAGAAUGAGUUGGAAGAACACUGAUCUGAGAAUUCUCAAAUGUUCUCCGAAUUCUGAAUGGUUUUAUAAAAAACAACUCUUUUAGCUAGACAAGAAGUCCGCCAGUGGAAGUAGUAGCUAGAUUUACUUAGUUUGUUGUGCGAGGACUCGUCUCAUCCAUUAUUUAUAUCUUCAAGCUACUCUUUUGUGUCUUUAUCCCAACCCCCAUGAGUUCCACGUUAUUCUCUAGUGUCUAGAUUUAAACUUGAUGUUUUGAGCAGAAGUUGUGAUAGGAAAAAGACGUAAUAGAUUCUUGUAUAUAUAAACUUGAAGAAUCAAUUAGCACAAGAGGAGGUUGUUUUUGCAUCUUGUAACUUUUUGUGUUACCACUAGUCUGGAUAAGCAUUAAGAAAGGGUAUUAAGAGAACAUCUUUGUGCAAUGCCAUUAAAACAAUACAUAGCACUGUUUAGUAUGUUACAUGGACAAGGGUGCGGAUCUCUGAUACAGAUUUAUCAUCACUUAUUCACGUAAUUGUUAAGAUUCGAGAGUAUGGAUAGAAGUAUGGGUACCUGUGCUGAGAUAUUGGUAAUAGAUGUAUGCUAUUAUUUGCACAUACAUGCACACAGUAUAUACACAGUUAACAUAUUAGGAGUAGUAAUUAAUUGAAAAGCAUAGUUAUUUAUUAGGAGUAGUAAUGAAUUGAAAAGUCACUAGACCAAACAAGUGUUGAUAGUUUCUUUGCACAGUACCUAAUAUUGCAUUCCAUUAGUACAUCUCACGCAAUAGCAACAAUGAAACUAAAACCCAACCAACCGAUGGUUCUUGGCUAUGGUCGUAAGCAAUGCACACUAAGUAAAUUGAGCAAAUCUGGUGCAUAUGCCACAUAACUGCCAAUCUUUUCGGAUAGACACUUGGCGGGGAAGCAGGUUUUGGAAGAUUCUUGUAACAUAGCUGUAAAUUUGAUACUCGUUUUCUUGGAAAUUGGAAUAACUUAUGGUUCUUACAUUCUUUGCUUGUUGUAUUUUUUCCUGUAGAUAAGGAUUGAGGUAGUUAUUUGCUUUCAAUCUGUUUCAGCAUAUGUCUAGUAACGGACAGCUGCAUAUAGAAUUAAGCAGAGGUACUGGUAGUUAUAUUUAUGUUAUUAGAUGUGUGCUUUCACGCUUCAGAAAGCGAUUUGGAAUCUUUGAGUCGAGGAAGUAGUUAAAUUUAGAUUGAUCUAUGUGAACUUCUUCCAGUAGGAGUUGGUGCUUGUCAAUUUUUGGAGGAAAUGUUUUACUUUCCAAUUUAGUGAAGACACUAUGAAGGACUUUUUACUGUUCUCUGUUGCUAUGUUUGUCGAUUUAUACAUUGUUUAAUUUUUAACCCUGUAAUGCGUUGGAGUAAGCUGCAUUCUGUUGUUUCAUAUUAUUUUUGAAAGUAAAAGAGGUAGCUGGUAACUGCAAAGGGAAGUAAGUUGUUUGCUAGAUAGUAGAGAGAAUUUUUGGUGCAAGGAACAGAUAGUUGGGGAGGUGUCACAGCUUGUUGAUUUCCUGGAAACUAUGUACUGAGAGUUAUUUUGUUGAAGUUGUAAUAGCAUUAAUAAAAUAUCAUUUAUAGAAAAGAAGAAGUAGAGCGAAGGGAUCCUGAAGUUGCUUUCUUUUUGUUAACUUGCGAUGAUAGCACUGAAGGUCUAUGAGAAAAGAUUAGUUAGACUACCAAAAGGAUCCUCAAUGUUAUUUUGUUUAUGUUGUACUUUAAUACACCCAAAGGAAAGAACGAUUUCAUCAUUGUUGCCAGUGAAGGUAAUCAUAGUGUGGGAACGUAGAAGUCUAAAGCUGACUUUUUGCUUUGCGUUGCUUCUUUUCAUGGUUCGUCUUCCCCAAGUUUAUCAACAUCCAGCCAAAGUGGAAACACUUAAAGUGAAUUUGUUUUGUGGACAUGCAAAUGUUUUGGGGAGUUGAACAUGUGCAUUUUACUGAGGUUGAGUCGGUAUCAUCCUGCCUUUUGUGAGAUAACAUGUUAGAGAGUUCCACACUCUAGUCCGCUGCCCGCAUAAGAUAAUAUAUUGAUUCUUGUAUUAUGCUAGUAUUAGGAAUGCAAAGUUUAAUACUGUCAACCAAAUACUGCAUUAGUUAUACAGAGGUUAAUACCAUCAACCAAAUGCUGCAUUAGUUAUACAGAGGUUAAUACCAUCAACCAAAUGCUGCAUUAGUUCUGUGAAAAUUAAUUUUUUCUUAUUCAACCAACUAAACGUUAUACCACUUAUUCCCAGUACAAAAAAAUCAUUAUACUACUUAUCUGGAAUUUUAUGUUGGAUUGUUCUUGUUUAUUGUAGCCAACCAAGCAACUCCUUAGUGAUGCGCUUGACAUUUAAUACACUCCCUCAAACUCAAGGUGAUAAACAACUUGAGUUUGCAACUCUAAACUAUGUCCUUCUCAAAAAAACAAACUCUAAACUAUGAAGUGCUGCUGGAAAUAAAAUUGACUUUGGCAAUGAGACAAAACUAACUUAGCAUUAUACAAUUGAUGGCGGUGCUAUUGAUCACUACUCUGGUAUUACUACCAUUUUCUCUUCACUUAACCCAUCAACAGCGUGAGAAUGCCUUGGCUGUGUUUUGCUGUGAAUCCAUCAGAAUGAUUGCAUGUCGUGAACUUUACUAAGUUGAUAAUGACACACAAGAUGCUAAUGUGACAACUUGCUGGCAUUCCACACUGCUGACUAAGUAAUGGUUUGCCAAUGACAUGACGCUAAUCAGGAAUUGACAGGUCAAUUGACAUAAAUGACUAACUUGAGAUGGUGUCAUAGAUUGAUCAGUAGAUAAAUGUAGAACUAGACAAAUGUUGAGCCCUGACUUGACUGGUUAGUUGAUGUGAACUGAUAACAUUAGUCCUAGACAGGUGUGGACCCCAACUUGAUAGUUUAGCCAAUAUGGUUAGAAAAUUUGGCAUUGCAGUGGGUGCUGGCAUAUGGGAGUGUUGUCUACAGGGUGGAAACAACUUAAAUUUGUACAGGAUUGGCACGAUACCAUAUGAAAAAAGAGAAAAAAGGAGAAAAACUUUGUGGAUUUGGUUAUUGACAACAAACAAGAGGACUCAUUUUAAAGAACUUUUGAGCUACAUGAAAUAAGGAAAGUUUUUGGGAUUCCUAAUUAUUAUGACAUAAUCAUUAUGAAUGUUCUACACAGUUUUUAAUUACUAUUAACUUUCAACUAUGAUGAAAUUUAUGAUGAAUCUGUCAACUUAUACAAUGACAUAAUCAAUAGAGAUUUCUACAUAGUAUUAUUGAUGAUUCUCUCGACUCUUGACCAGUGUUAUCAAAGGUGAAAGCGCAAAAAAGCUCUAAGGUUUGUUGGGGCUGUAAGUGCAAAAUGCAAAUAAAGCGUGGGAUUUAAAGAAGAAAGGCUCAAACAGAGAAAAACUACAAAUAUGUAUGUAUAGUCUAAGACUAAUAUCUAUAAGCAAAAAUAUGGACAAAGAAAUUGAAGAAAAUUUACGAUAAAGUGAAAUAUUAAUGGUUUAGUGUUGCUUCUUCACGCUAAUGCUCAUUGACGAGGAAAAGUAUGCCUUAGAACCUUGAUGACAACACUAGCGCUCACCAAGUGAGGCGAAGCGCUCAACACAUUUUGAGCCUCGCUUCUGGGCUUAAGCGCGCCUUUGUUAAAACUGCUCUUGACAGGGAAUAAGGACCCUGCAUAAUCAUUUUUUAGUUUCUAAUUAACUACUAUUUGUUGGAUCCAAUUUAACUGCCUUGUUUACAACAAGCUAGGAUCGCUCUGGUGAAGAUUCUUCAUAUUGAUUUUCUCAAUUGAAAUAUGCUUACUUGAAAAAAAAAUUGGUGGCAAAGAGCUAUAAGUAGGGAAACCAGUAUAAAAAAUUCUAGCUACUACCAAUUUGGUCAUGUGGUAAGAAGUUCAAGUAGUUCCAAUAAAGCAUUACAAGCACAAAACAUAUGUUUGUUCCUAGGAAAUCUCGGUGCUUAGGAUUCUCAGUUCUGAUCCAACUGGAGCAUAUUAGGCAUGAGUGGGGCACACGUUAAGAUAGUUGAAGAGCCCUGCAACGAAUGGUUUAUAGGGGUUUUGAUGAGGUGAUAGUGCUAUGAUGUGGGAGGGGCAUACUGUAAUAUGGGGAUUGUGAUUAGUAAUUGAUUGUCCACGCACGGUGAAAACAGCAACAGGAGUCAAUUUUUAUGGUUCCAAUGGUAUUGAGUUUAGUGAUAACAUUUGGUACUGGGCAAAUAAGAAAAAUGUAUCACCACUAAGAUUUUAUUCAAUAGACCAAAAACCUGUUAUGGUGCUCUCGUCGUCGAACUUGCACAUGCAGAUCCUAAGGUCGCAUGCCCAAAAUUUUAUGUCGUGUCCAGUGUCCAGCGUUGGAGCUGGGAUCUUAUUUGAAUAAAAAAUUAGAGCUUCAAUGCCUUGCCCUCCCAUUGAAUAUGAACAUCCAUAAGUAAUUGGUUAUGCCCUCUCUUUCAUUUUCCUGAUAAAGAUUAUGCCCUCGUUUUCAUAUUUUGCUCGUGUAGAUGGUAUCUUUGUGUUCAUAUCAUAUUUACUUAUUCAUUGAAGUAGUACCAUCAAAAGUGUGAACAUACAAUUAUUACUGCAUGCCACUUUCUGGUAAUCUCAAAUAACAUCUAUUGACAACUAUUGUUUAGCACUGUUGAUAACAAAAAGCACUAUGAGUGUUUCGACUUGACCUAACUACACUUGAAUGAUCUUCUUGCAGGAGUUUGAGGCAGUCAUUCUUAACUUAUAAGAGAAUAGUGACCAGGUGACUGUCUAAAUGCUGGAUUGUACAUCAGUUGCUAUGUGAGGUUGUGAAUUAAUUGAUAUCCAUUGAUAUAUUUCUAUGUUAGUAACCACGUAGCAACAUUUAACAAUCAAAGCUUUGGAGUUCAAUCAUCUAUGCCUGGCAACGAUGUUGGAGAUAGGGUUCACAACUUCUUUGCACAAGACAGCUUGUCACAAGAGCAGCAUCAUUCCCCAGUAGUGGAGGGAAAUUGGCCAGCUCAUAGUAACAAUCUGUGGGUUGGAAGUCAGAGACAGAUAGGUGUACUGACUCCCAACACAAAGAAUUACAAUUUACAGAACUCUGGUAAUUUGACAUGUCAUGUUUCUCUAAACUAUUAUUUGAUAGCUAUAUCUCAGUCUGUUAGUUGUUCUCUUACAUUUCUUUCAUUUGCAGAUAGUGGGAAAGGGCCGAGCAGUUACCCUUUUACCAGCCAACAUGGGUUGAAUUUUAUGCAAUCCACUCCAAGGCCUGAGUUUGCAAAGAGCCAGUCACAAAAUCAGCAGGCAAAUUUGAAUGGUUACAUGUAUAGUAAUCAGUUUCACCAGACAAGGCAGGAUGAAGCAAAAUUUCUCUCUAUCGAUACAGGUUAUGAUCAACGUAGUCUAGCCUCAGGAGGCCUAUCUCCUUAUGCAUCACAGCAAGGAGUAGGUCCAGAGCAGCAGGCAAGAGUACCAGUUAGGUCAGAACCUUCUGAGAGUCCUGCUAGUUUUGAUCUUUUUGGUGGUCAGCAAAUGAAUCGUCAGCAAUCAAACAUGCUGCAGUCUCUGCAGCGGCAGCAGUCUGGGCAUAGUGACAUGCAGNNNNNNNNNNNNNNNNNNNNNNNNNNNNNNNNNNNNNNNNNNNNNNNNNNNNNNNNNNNNNNNNNNNNNNNNNNNNNNNNNNNNNNNNNNNNNNNNNNNNNNNNNNNNNNNNNNNNNNNNNNNNNNNNNNNNNNNNNNNNNNNNNNNNNNNNNNNNNNNNNNNNNNNNNNNNNNNNNNNNNNNNNNNNNNNNNNNNNNNNNNNNNNNNNNNNNNNNNNNNNNNNNNNNNNNNNNNNNNNNNNNNNNNNNNNNNNNNNNNNNNNNNNNNNNNNNNNNNNNNNNNNNNNNNNNNNNNNNNNNNNNNNNNNNNNNNNNNNNNNNNNNNNNNNNNNNNNNNNNNNNNNNNNNNNNNNNNNNNNNNNNNNNNNNNNNNNNNNNNNNNNNNNNNNNNNNNNNNNNNNNNNNNNNNNNNNNNNNNNNNNNNNNNNNNNNNNNNNNNNNNNNNNNNNNNNNNNNNNNNNNNNNNNNNNNNNNNNNNNNNNNNNNNNNNNNNNNNNNNNNNNNNNNNNNNNNNNNNNNNNNNNNNNNNNNNNNNNNNNNNNNNNNNNNNNNNNNNNNNNNNNNNNNNNNNNNNNNNNNNNNNNNNNNNNNNNNNNNNNNNNNNNNNNNNNNNNNNNNNNNNNNNNNNNNNNNNNNNNNNNNNNNNNNNNNNNNNNNNNNNNNNNNNNNNNNNNNNNNNNNNNNNNNNNNNNNNNNNNNNNNNNNNNNNNNNNNNNNNNNNNNNNNNNNNNNNNNNNNNNNNNNNNNNNNNNNNNNNNNNNNNNNNNNNNNNNNNNNNNNNNNNNNNNNNNNNNNNNNNNNNNNNNNNNNNNNNNNNNNNNNNNNNNNNNNNNNNNNNNNNNNNNNNNNNNNNNNNNNNNNNNNNNNNNNNNNNNNNNNNNNNNNNNNNNNNNNNNNNNNNNNNNNNNNNNNNNNNNNNNNNNNNNNNNNNNNNNNNNNNNNNNNNNNNNNNNNNNNNNNNNNNNNNNNNNNNNNNNNNNNNNNNNNNNNNNNNNNNNNNNNNNNNNNNNNNNNNNNNNNNNNNNNNNNNNNNNNNNNNNNNNNNNNNNNNNNNNNNNNNNNNNNNNNNNNNNNNNNNNNNNNNNNNNNNNNNNNNNNNNNNNNNNNNNNNNNNNNNNNNNNNNNNNNNNNNNNNNNNNNNNNNNNNNNNNNNNNNNNNNNNNNNNNNNNNNNNNNNNNNNNNNNNNNNNNNNNNNNNNNNNNNNNNNNNNNNNNNNNNNNNNNNNNNNNNNNNNNNNNNNNNNNNNNNNNNNNNNNNNNNNNNNNNNNNNNNNNNNNNNNNNNNNNNNNNNNNNNNNNNNNNNNNNNNNNNNNNNNNNNNNNNNNNNNNNNNNNNNNNNNNNNNNNNNNNNNNNNNNNNNNNNNNNNNNNNNNNNNNNNNNNNNNNNNNNNNNNNNNNNNNNNNNNNNNNNNNNNNNNNNNNNNNNNNNNNNNNNNNNNNNNNNNNNNNNNNNNNNNNNNNNNNNNNNNNNNNNNNNNNNNNNNNNNNNNNNNNNNNNNNNNNNNNNNNNNNNNNNNNNNNNNNNNNNNNNNNNNNNNNNNNNNNNNNNNNNNNNNNNNNNNNNNNNNNNNNNNNNNNNNNNNNNNNNNNNNNNNNNNNNNNNNNNNNNNNNNNNNNNNNNNNNNNNNNNNNNNNNNNNNNNNNNNNNNNNNNNNNNNNNNNNNNNNNNNNNNNNNNNNNNNNNNNNNNNNNNNNNNNNNNNNNNNNNNNNNNNNNNNNNNNNNNNNNNNNNNNNNNNNNNNNNNNNNNNNNNNNNNNNNNNNNNNNNNNNNNNNNNNNNNNNNNNNNNNNNNNNNNNNNNNNNNNNNNNNNNNNNNNNNNNNNNNNNNNNNNNNNNNNNNNNNNNNNNNNNNNNNNNNNNNNNNNNNNNNNNNNNNNNNNNNNNNNNNNNNNNNNNNNNNNNNNNNNNNNNNNNNNNNNNNNNNNNNNNNNNNNNNNNNNNNNNNNNNNNNNNNNNNNNNNNNNNNNNNNNNNNNNNNNNNNNNNNNNNNNNNNNNNNNNNNNNNNNNNNNNNNNNNNCCACACACACACCAAAAAAAAACAAAAAAAAAGUCCCAUGAAAAUAGAGAUGCCUUGCCUUGUGGUAGUUGAAUAGGUUAAUUUUUCUGCUAUAAUCAAUAUUGGAAAAGAUAGGUUCAGGUUUUCUAAUAGACAAUGACUUGCGUUAUACAAGAUUAUCAGAUCUUUGGUUGCUUUGGGGUAUUCCAGCAUGUUUGUUCUCUUCUCUUUCUGGAUUAUUAUCUUGAGCUACAUAUCUUCUGCAAAGAAAUGUCUCAUUUUCUUACGACUUGUCCUAGUACUAUGAGUAUUUUAGAAUGUAGCCUGCCAAGUUGCAGAGAAACUACAUUUAAUGCUAAAUUUUAGUCAUGGAACUGCAGACUUCAGUUCUGUGAUCAACCAAAUGUGGUUUUAUUGGAAACUCGGGGGCAUUGUUUGGAUUCUUAUAUGGUCUUUUUGCUUCUGUUAGCACAUUUUGGAAUAUUUGAUGCUAAAGGUCUUUAAUCACCAUUCCCACUCUGAAAAUACAAGGAUAGAAGUGCUAAAGCCGAGUAAAUGAUCCAAAGAAAAGCAAGUAGUAAUUGAUUUAUUUCAGAAAAAUUCAACACUGUUAUAGUCUUUAACAGCUGCUCCAUAAUGGUUUUCUGCUAAUUCCUCGGCGUCCAUUUCAUUUCUUACGUGUUACAGUUGUGUUUAGAAUCUAUCUUCUUUACUAAAUCAGUUUAUACCUGACAAUAUACAAGGUAAUUCCACAUAAUAUCUCUUUUAUUCGUUCUUCUCUGAUGCAGACUGGACAAGAGAGCAUCAAUACUAGACGUGAUAGUGGAAGGCCAGGAUAUUGAAAAGUUCUCUGUCAUCUAUCGGUUUGCGAAGUUCCAUGGUCGGGUGCAAUCUGAUGGUGUUGAGUCCUCAUCUUCAUCAGAUGCACGUAGCCAUAAACCUUUGGCACAGAGAUAUGUCACUGCACUUCCAAUGCCAAAAAAUCUUCCUAGUAUGGUACAAUGUCUUUCACUAUGAUCACAGAUGAAUUGAUUUCCCCCAUGUUCUGGUGGUAAAUCUACUAGCUCUACUUCUCUAAGAAGUUAUGGUGCUAAAUAUGCACUGGCACUAGCAACAACAGAAAUUGAUGGACACUGAAUUGUCACCUCAAAUGUAAUGUAGGCUGUCCAAUCUUUUACAUGUUGACCACUUAUGUCUUAUCAAGAAAUAUGAUUCAUUUUGUGUACAUCUCUUCAAAUUUGUAGGGAGGGAGAGAAAGGACCUAGGGGCUUCAUUUUUUUCCAUCAGUAGAGAAAAUAUAUUAGGAGGUGUUUGUAUAUAGUUAGUCAUCAGUGUUAUAUGUGUUACACUUUCUCUCACGAAUUUGUGAAGGUAAUCAUAAUUGCUUUAGUCAGGUCGGGGAUAAUUCAGACAUCUUGCGGUAAAUAUCAUGCCCAGGCUUUUCCUGAACUCCGAAUCAUUUGGAGAUUUACUAGAAAUUUUAGCUGGGAGCUGUCUUGAGAAUUUGAUCAGCUGUCUCGUGAAAUGGACAUUCUUAGUACAGCUUCGUUAUAAUUAGCUCUCUUGUACAGACCUUGUGAGUUACAACAACUUGGGAUUUGGCUCAAUCUUGGCUUCCUGUUAUUGAUGUGAUGUUAGAGUGUAAAUGUAGAAAGAUGUUAGCUUGCGAGUUAAAUACCCCAUCUUCUGAUAUAGGAGUUACAUCUCAUAAUCUGCUUGGUGAAGCAAUUAUCCGACUUGUCAAAUUGACAAUUUGAAAUCCAAGAUAAAACUUAAUCAUUGAUGACAUAUCUCUCUGUAAGCCUCCUGUUGUACCUUUGUGUAUCUUUCUUUUACUCAGUUGUAAUGUUUUCCUGCCAACUAGUUGUGCUAAAUCUCUACACCAAGCGAAAGCUGAAAGAAAUGGAAAUUCAUAUGGAUUAUUCUGCCACUUGGAAAGAAGAAGCCUUACCUUCUCUGCUCAAGAAAACAGGAAUUAUAGAACUGCUAGUCUCUGUAUAUUUGCUUUCAAUUCACAGAUUUUGAAGUGCGUUAUUUUGUCAAAAGCUUAUAUAAUCAUAUAGAUAGCAUCAUCUUGUCUGGUUUUCCCUUCCGAUAGUUGCUUCAACAAGCAAAUGCAGUAAUCAGCAAUCACUAUCCUUCUCCCCCACCCCCAAGUUAAUUGCCUCUUUAAUUGCCUGGAAGAUGGGAAUAAC
This 48678-nucleotide long non-coding RNA is filed under the name Nicotiana tabacum (common tobacco). RNAcentral's name for it is "long non-coding RNA (NTAB_LNC007643)". Lineage: Eukaryota; Viridiplantae; Streptophyta; Magnoliopsida; Solanales; Solanaceae. The record is from RNAcentral.